RNAcentral lists this long non-coding RNA (53661 nucleotides) under Triticum aestivum (bread wheat). RNAcentral's name for it is "long non-coding RNA (TAES_LNC021972)". The record is from RNAcentral. Lineage: Eukaryota; Viridiplantae; Streptophyta; Magnoliopsida; Poales; Poaceae.
UAUUUUUGGCUGUACCGCACACGCUAGGUGUACUCUGUAUAGAUAGUAGCCCCUGAGACUCUGGUUGCCGUCCAAAGGCGGUAAUCAGAGGAUCAUAGUCCCAGGUAAUGAUCGCGCUGCUUUCAUGUGUAGGCGGCUGAGGGUCCGGUGGCUGACCGGACUGCUGAUUUCACCGAACUGAGGCAACAGCUUGACGUGGCAGAUGCCGACAUCACGCUUGUGAACAAGCAGCUUGACGAGGCACAUGGUAUGUUUUUUCGAAUUGUCAACAAAUAUUAAGAGGAGCUCGAUGCUAGUAUCUAUAAUAUGAUGUGACCGCGGAUGGAGCUGCCGCUGUGGAGACCCUUUGAGCGGAACUUGCCCAAUCCAAGGAUCAAGCCAGGAGAAGUAAUGCGGCCGUCCUAAAGGCGGCCGAGGAGUUAAGAGCCGAACAGGCUGCUCAUCGCCAGGGCGAAGAUAAAAUAGCCAAGAUGGCUGUUGAGCUGAAGGAUGCCACCGACCGAUAUGAGGUCCUUAAAAAGGAAAACCAAGCAAAAGUGGCUGACCUGAAGAAGGUCUUUGACGCAGGCAAGGAAACUCGCUCUAAGAUCAGAGCAACAAGGGAGGAGCUUCGUCAAGACGGAGAUAUCACGGCUGGGAAGUCCUUUCUAUUGCGGACGAAGUUCGAAGAUCCGAAGUAUGCCCCUCUGAAUCAAUUAUGGAGUGCUGAGGACGCGUACUUGGACUUGGCCAAGAGUGUUGCUGAUGCGACUGAAUAUUUCAAAGAUCAGAAAGAUCAUGAGGUGGAACAGUUGUUCUGGUCGCAGUUCAGUGCUCCAAAGCGUCUGCUGCUAUUAAAUGAACAAAUGGCCGAGUGGGCCGAGCUCCAUAGGUUAUCCAGGCUUGCCAUGAGGUCUGUCGUGGAUCAUCUUUGGCCGAAGGGACCAAGGCCGGACAGUUAUUUUGGCUUGGUGCAACGAUUCCUUGGUGUUGUGCCACAUAUCGAUGCUGUAAAGAGGUCGGUGUGCAUAGAGGGUGCGUGGAUGGCUCUCGCCCGUGUUAAAACAUAGUGGGCAAGGAUGGAGGCCACCGCUCUUGCAACCCUGGGUCCGGCAAGAGGCCAGCACCCGACUGAGCACUAUUUCAAGGAAGUCCUAGAAGGCGCCCAUUUAAUAGAGGCUCAGUGCUCGAAGAGUACCAUGUUUGAGUGACAUGUAUCUUAAUUGUAAAAAGAAUGCUAUUUUGAUUAUAAAGGUUGUGUUUAUACUUUUUCCCGAAAGUAUUAUAGUGCCUCCUAUGCGGCCGUUUCUGUAUGUAUAUAACCUGAAAGUUUGCAGUCGUCGGCUUCACCCCCCACACAUAUAAUGCGGGGGUGUUCGAAAAAAGCGCGUAAUCAUACUUGAUCCAACGUCUUGGUCCUUUAAGGAGGUGAUAGCGCGGCGAACCAGGCAAUCGGACUAUAUAGCUUUAACACUUUCACUUAGCCAUAGGAGUUUGACGGCGGGGCUACUAUAGAGCCCCUGGUACUUCCGCGUUCAUCCAAAUAUGGUGCGCGUACGUACAUGAUCGGGAAACCGGUCCUUUGUUAAUGUGGAGGAAUCGUGAAGAUUCUGCUAAGUCAUUGAGUGGUUGACUAGUCUCGCGCUAUAUCAUGACAAUCAGUUUUCGGCUUUCUCUACUGAGGUGCUCGUCCGGAAGAACUAGGACACAAUCGUAGUAGUUCUCCCAGUGCUACCUUAGCCGACAUAGCGGAACGUAAGGUACCAAAACAUGGGAGCCGGGCAAACCCAACUAUUGACUCAAGACAUGAUUCGGAGUUGAUGCAUAUAAGGCCAAACUCGCGACGCCGAACACUCCCUAAGGUAUUCGGACUUUAAAACAUAUACUCGGCUGAGUAGCGCCCUCGAUAAUGAGCCCUGAAUUUCCAGGUACACGCAUUGAUUUGGCAUGGCGAAAUGCCAAUAACGCCAGUGUCCCUCUCGGUUGUGUUAAGUACUCAGAGGGUGUCAAGCAACAAGAGACAUUAGAAAAGGUUUACACAGGGGCUUAAUCUAAAGAGAAACCUGUGAGCGGGGCCCUGUUGCAUGUCUGCGCAUUUGUCUCCGUUGUGUCGUAUCCUGGAAGGGUGUAGCACGAUGAUCAUCUGUAAAGAAGAAAAACCCAGGUGAAAAAAGGUCUGGUGUGAUCGUGCUAAAAGGUGGUUAUUCUUAAUGAACCAUGAAGAUGCAUUCUAUUAUUGUAUUAAUAGGGUCAAGCCGAACUAUGGGCUUUUUUUAUACGGGCAGCCCCUAGCACCGCCUAUUGGGGUAUAUCCAUCCACCCGAGCUCAGGUUUAUCUGGGCUGCUACAACUAGCGGUGCACCGGACACGUCUAACCGUGUCUGUGGUCUUGACGACCGAUCAGUUAUUCUGGUUGGGGAGGCCGUUCCGCUGCUAGAGCCACCACGUAUGCUUUCGCAUGUAGAGAGUGUUCUGUAUUUCCGUUGAUUGUGAUGACGCCACGUGGACCGGGCAUCUUGAGUUUAAGAUAAUCGUAAUACGGAACUGCGUUGAAACGGGAAAAGGUCGUUCUUCCGAGUAGUGCAUGGUAGCCGCUUCGGAAUUUAGCGAUGUCGAAGAUUAGUUCUUCACUUCGGAAGUUGUCGGGUGAGCCGAAUACAACCUCUAGUGCUAGAGAGACCGUGCAACGGGCCUCUACGCCUGGUAUUACUCCUUUAAAGGUAGUACUACUUUGGUUAAUUCUUGAUGGGUCUAUCCCCAUCUUGCAGAUAGUGUCUUGAUAUAUCAGAUUAAGACUACUGCCGCCGUCCAUAUGGACUCGGGUGAGAUGGUAUCCGUUAAUUAUUGGGUCGAGCAUCAAGGCAGCCGAUUGCUAUGUCUUGAGCUAGCAUUGGUUUUCCCCAAAGAGGAGAGGGUGAUGCAGCAAGUGUAGCGUAAGUAUUUCCCUCGGUUUUUGAGAACCAAGGUAUAAAUCCAGUAGGAGGCUCCUCAAAAGUCCCAUGCACCUACACAAACAAACUGAGAACUCGCAACCAACACAAUAAAGGGGUUGUCAAUCCCUUCACGGCCACUUGCAAAAGUGAGAUCUGAUAGAGAUAGUAUGAUAAGAUAAAUAAAUUUUUCAUAUUUUAUAAUAUAGAUGCAAGAAAGUAAAGAUGCAAAUAAAAGUAAAUUGAAAGCAAAUAUGAUAAGAGAUAGACCCGGGGGCCAUAGGUUUCACUAGAGGCUUCUCUCGAGAGGAUAAGUAUUACGGUGGGUGAACAAUUUACUGUCAAGCAAUUGAUAGAAAAGCGAAUAACUAUGACGUUAUCUAGGCAUGAUCAUAUAUAUAGGCAUCACAUCCAAAACAAGUAGACCGACUCCUGCCUGCAUCUACUACUAUUACUCCACACAUCGACCGUUAUCCAGCAUGCAUCUAGAGUAUUAAGUUCAUAAGAACAGAGUAACGCAUUAAGCAAGAUGAUAUGAUGUAGAGGGAUAAACUCAUGCAAUAUGAUAUAAACCCCAUCUUGUUAUCCUCGAUGGCAACAAUACAAUACGUGUCUUGCAACCCUUUCUGUCACUGGGUAAGAACACCGCAAGAUUGAACCCAAAGCUAAGCACUUCUCCCAUGGCAAGAAAGAUCAAUCUAGUAGGCCAAACCACACCGAUAAUUCGAAGAGACUUGCAAAGACAAAUCAAUCAUACAUAAAAGAAUUCAGAGAAGAUUCAAUUAAUAACCAUAGAUAAAUCUGAUCAUAAACUCAUAGUUCAUCGGAUCUUGACAAACACACCGCAAAAAAAGAUUACAUCGAAUAGAUCUCCACAAGAGAGGGGGAGAACAUUGUAUUGAGAUCCAAAAAGAGAGAAGAAGCCAUCUAGCUAAUAACUAUGGACCCGUAGGUCUGUGGUAAACUACUCACAACUCAUAGGAGGGGCAAGGAUGUUGAUGUAGAGGCCCUCUGUGGUCGAUUCCCCCUCCGGCAGAGUGCCGGCGAAGGCUCCAAGAUGGGAUCUCGCGAAUACAGAAGGUUACGGUGGUGGAAAUUGUGUUUCGUGGUGCCCCCAGAUGUUUUCGGGGUCCGUAGGUAUAUAUAGGAAGAAGAAGUACGUCGGUGGACGCCCGAGGGGCCCACAAGACAGGGAGGCACGCCCUACGGGGGGGCACCCUCCUAUCUCGUGGGGCCCUUGGAGCUUUCUUAACUUUCACUCCAGGCCCUCCGGAUCAGAUUUGUUCCAAAAAUAACGCCCCCGAAGGUUUCAUUCCGUUUGGACUCCGUUUGAUAUUCCUUUUCUUCGAAAUAAUGAAAUAGGUAAAAAAACAGCAAUAUGGGCUGGGCCUCCGGUUAGUAGGUUAGUCCCAAAAAAAUGAUAUAAAUAUGUAGAAUAAAGCCCAUAAGCAUCCAAAACAGGUAAUAUAAUAGCAUGGAACAAUCAAAAAUUAUAGAUACGUUGCAGACGUAUCAAGCAUCCCCAAGCUUAAUUCCUGCUCGUCCUCGAGUAGGUAAAUGAUAAAAAGAGAAUUUUUGAUGUGGAAUGCUACCUAGCAUAAUUCAUAAUGUAAUUUUCUUUCAUUGUGGCAUGAAUGUUCAGAUCCAAAUAAUACAAAAUAAAAGUUCAUAUUGACAUAAGAAAUAGUAAUACUUCAAGCAUACCAAGCAAGUAAUCAUGUCUUCUCAAAAUAGCAUGGCCAAAAGAAAGUUAUCCCUACAAAAUCAUAUAGUCUGGUUAUACUCUAUCUUCAUCACACAAAGUAUUUAAUCAUGCACAACCCCGAUGACGAGCCAAGCAAUUGUUUCAUACUUUAAUAAUCUCAAACUCUUUCAACUUUCACGCAAUACAUGAGCAUGAGCCCUGGACCUAGCACUAUAUGUGGAAUAGAACGGUGGUUGUGGAGAAGACAAAAAAGGAGAAGAUAGUCUCACAUCAACUAGGUGUAUCAACGGGCUAUGGAGAUGGCCAUUAAUAGAUAUCAAUGUGAGUGAAUAGGGAUUGCCAUGCAACGGAUGCACUAGAGCUAUAAAUAUAUGAAAGCUCAACAAAAGAAAACUAGUGGGUGUGCAUCCAACUUGCUCGCUCACGAAGACCUAGGGCAUUUUGAGGAAGCCCAUCAUUGGAAUAUACAAGCCAAGUUCUAUAAUGAAAAAUUCCAACUAGUAAAUGAAAGUGACAACAUAUGAGACUCUCUAUCAUGAAGAUCAUGGUGCUAUUUUGAAGCACAAGUGUGGAAAAAGAUAGUAGCAUUGUCCCUUCUCUCUUUUUCUCUCAUUCUUUUAUUUCUUUUCUUUUCUUUUUUUCUUUCCUUUUUUUUCUUUUUGGCCUCCCCUUUUUUUCUUUGGCCUUUUUUUCCUUUUUUUUCCUUUUUGCAAAGUCCGAAGUCUCAUCCCGACUUGUGGGGGAAUCAUAGUCUUCAUCAUCCUUUCCUCACUAGGACAAUGCUCUAAUAAUGAAGAUCAUCACACUUUUAUGGAUUUACAACUCAAAGCUAGAACAAGAUAUGACUCUAGGUGAAUGCCUCCGGCGGUAUACCGGGAUAUGCAAUGAAUCAAGAGCGACAUGUAUGAAGAAUAUGAUGGUGGCUUUGCCACAAAUACGAUGUCAACUACAUGAUCAUGCAAAGAGCAAUAUGAAAAAAGUAAUGUGUGUCAUAUGAAUGGAACGGUGGAAAGUUGCAUGGCAAUAUAUCUCGGAAUGGCUAUGGAAGUGCCAUAAUAGGUAGGUAUGGUGGCUGUUUUGAGGAAGGUAUAAGGUGGGUGUAUGGUACCGGCGAAAGUUGCAUGAUACAAGAGAGGCUAGCAAUAAUGGAGGGGUGAAAGGAGUGUGUAUAAUCCAUGGACUCAACAUUAGUCAAAAGAACUCAUAUACUUGUUCUUAAAAUUUAGAACUCAUCAAAACCAAAGCACUACACGCAUGCUCCUAGGGGGAUAUAUUGGUAGGAAAAGACCAUCGCUUGUCCCCGACUGCCACUCAUAAGGAAGACAAUCAAUAAAUAAAAUUGUGCUCCAACUUCAUCACAAAGCGGUUCACCAUACGUAUAUGCUACGGGAAUCACAAACUUCAACACAAGCAUUCUUUAAAUCCAUAAUCACCCAACUAGCAUGACUUUAAUAUUACUACCUCCAUAUCUCAAAACAAUUAUCAAGCAUCAAAUUGAUCAUAGCAUCCAAUUCACUCUCUAUGAUUGUUUUUAUUAUACCCAACUUGGAUGCUCAUCAUUCUAGGACCAAAUUAAAACCAUAGCAAAUACCAUGCUGUUCUAAGAGACUCAAAAUAAUAUAAGUGAAGCAUGAGAGACUAGAAAUUUCUAUAAAAUUAAUCCACCACCAUGCUCUAAAAGAUAUAAGUGAAGCACUAGAGCAAAAACUAUCAAGCUCAAAAGAUAUAAGUGAAGCACAUAGAGUAUUCUCGCAAAUUCUAAUCAAAUAGGCUUCUCCGAAAAGGUGUGUUACAGCAAGGAUGAUUGUGGUAAACUAACAAGCAAAGACCAAUAUAAUACAUGACGCUCCAAGCAAAACACAUAUCAUGUAGCGAAUAAAAAUAUAGCUCCAAGUAAAGUUACCAAUGAACGAAGACGAAAGAGGGGAUGCCUUCCCGGGGCAUCCCCAAGCUUAGGCUUUUGGCUAUUCUUGAAUAUCUUGGGGUGCCAUAAGCAUCCCCAAGCUUAGGCUCUUGCCACUCUUUAUUCCAUAGUCCAUAAAAGCUUUACCCAAAACUUGAAAACUUCACAACACAAAACUCUACAGGAAAUCUUAUAAGCUCUGUUAGUGAAAGAAAACAAAACCACCACAUAAGGUACUGUAAUGAACUCAUUCUUUAUUUAUUUUGGUGUUAAACCUACUUUAUUCCAACUUCCUUAUGGUUUAUAAACUAAUUUAUUAGCCAUAGAUGCAUUGAAAUAAGCGAACAACGCAUGAAAAACAGAAUCUUUCAAAAACAAAACAGUCUGUAGUAAUCUGUAACUAACGCAAACUUCUAGAACUCUAAAAAUCCUACAAAAUAGGACAUACUGGAAAAAAAAAUUAUUGAUCAUAAUAAAAAAGAAUCAAUGCAAAGUCUCUUUUCUGUGAUUUAUUGAUUUUUUUCUCGUGAGCACAAAGUUUCUGUUUUUCAGCAGAAUCAAAUCAACCAUCAUCAUAGUUUAUCCUAUAGGUUCUACUUGGCACAAACACUAAACAAAACAUAAAAACACAUCUAAACAGAAAGUAGAUGCAAGAUUUAUUACUAAACAGGAACAAAAGCAAAGAACAUAAAGAAAAAUUGGGUUUCCUCCCAACUAGCGCUAUCGUUUAACGCCCCUAGCUAGGCAUAAAAGCAAGGAUAGACCUAACGAGUGCCAUCUUUGGCACUUGAUUCAUAAGUAGCAUGCAUGAUAGAUUCAUAAGGUAAUCUGACUUUCUUUCUUGGAAAGUGCUCCAUGCCUUUCUUUAAAGGAAAUUGGAAUCUAAUGUUCCCUUCCUUCAUAUCAAUAAUCGUUCUAAGGAAAGGUCUACCAAGAAUAAUAGGGCAAGAAAGAUUGCAAUUUAUAUCAAGAACGAUAAAAUCUACGGGCACCAAAUUUCUAUUUGCAAUAAUAAGAACAUCAUUGAUCCUUCCCAUAGGUUUCACUAGAGGCUUCUCUCGAGAGCAUAAGUAUUAUGGUGGGUGAACAAUUUACUGUCAAGCAAUUGAUAGAAAAGUGAAUAACUAUGACGUUAUCUAGGCAUGAUCAUAUAUAUAGGCAUCACAUCCAAAACAAGUAGACCGACUCCUGCCUGCAUCUACUACUAUUACUCCACACAUCGACCGCUAUCCAGCAUGCAUCUAGAGUAUUAAGUUCAUAAGAACAGAGUAACGCAUUAAGCAAGAUGAUAUGAUGUAGAGGGAUAAACUCAUGCAAUAUGAUAUAAACCCCAUCUUGUUAUCCUCGAUGGCAACAAUACAAUACGUGUCUUGCAACCCUUUCUGUCACUGGGUAAGAACACCGCAAGAUUGAACCCAAAGCUAAGCACUUCUCCCAUGGCAAGAAAGAUCAAUCUAGUAGGCCAAACCAAACCGAUAAUUCGAAGAGACUUGCAAAGAUAACUCAAUCAUACAUAAAAGAAUUCAGAGAAGAUUCAAUUAAUAACCAUAGAUAAAUCUGAUCAUAAACUCACAUUUCAUCGAAUCUUGACAAACACACCGCAAAAAGAGAUUACAUCGAAUAGAUCUCCACAAGAGAGGGGGAGAACAUUGUAUUGAGAUCCAAAAAGAGAGAAGAAGCCAUCUAGCUAAUAACUAUGGACCCGUAGGUCUGUGGUAAACUACUCACAACUCAUAGGAGGGGCAAGGAUGUUGAUGUAGAGGCCCUCCGUGGUCGAUUCCCCCUCCGGCAGAGUGCCGGCGAAGGCUCCAAGAUGGGAUCUCUCGGAUACAGAAGGUUACGGUGGUCGAAAUUGUGUUUCGUGGUGCCCCCAGAUGUUUUCGGGGUCCGUAGGUAUAUAUAGGAAGAAGAAGUACGUCGGUGGAUGCCCGAGGGGCCCACGAGACAGGGGGCGCGCCCUACAGGGGGGGCGCCCUCCUAUCUCGUGGGGCCCUCGGAGCUUUCUUGACUUGCACUCCAGGCUCUCCGGAUCAGAUUUGUUCCAAAAAUAACGCUCCCAAAGGUUUCAUUCCGUUUGGACUCCGUUUGAUAUUCCUUUUCUUCGAAAUACUGAAAUAGGCAAAAAAACAGCAAUAUGGGCUGGGCCUCUGGUUAGUAGUUUAGUCCCAAAAAUGAUAUAAAUAUGUAGAAUAAAGCCCAUAAGCAUCCAAAACAAGUAAUAUAAUAGCAUGGAAAAAUUAAAAAUUAUAGAUACGUUGGAGAUGUAUCACCGAUCCUCCGUGCCGGAUACUAGUCGGAUGAUCCCUGCGAUCAAAAGUAAUCGGGCAGGCCGACCAAGGGCUGAACUUGGGGUGAUUGGGUCUACAGCGUAUACGUCUUGGAGUGCACGCUUGCGCCUCCUUUUUCGUAUAUGAGUUGCGUAAAUCAUGUUAAAUGUUUUGACCUCUGGUGGAAUUUUUUUUUGUCCUGCAGUGUUCGGCUGGCGAGGCUCAUCCUCGUCUUCACUUGGUGUCUCCCUCCUCUUGUGUUUGGCGUUUAGUAUGCCGGCCUGCUUGAAGACCCAGCAUUCUCCGUUUGGUGUGGUUUGCAGGUUUUUGGGGGUGCCAUGAAUCUAACAUAAUCUGUCUAGAAUGUUGUUUAGGUUGGACGGUCCAUCAUUGUUGCCUUUAAAUGGCUUUUUUCGUUGACCAGGUCGAGAGCCCCUGAAUCCGGCGUUGAUCGCCGUAUUGUCUGGGUUGUCUUCAUUGUUGCGACGCUCGAUUUUAUUGCGCCGCGGCUUCCCAUUGCCAUCCCUGACUUCGGAUGUGCUUGGGUCGCUGGUGCCGCUGCGGGCCAACCAGCUGUCCUUGCCCGCGCAAAAGCGGGUCAUAAGGCUUGUUAAAGCUGCUAUUGUCCUUGGCUUUUCCUGGCCGAGGUGUCUGGCUAACCAUUCGUCUCGGAUACUGUGCUUGAAGGCCUCUAAGGCUUCAGCGUCCGGGCAAUCGAUGAUUUGAUUCUUCUUAGUGAGAAAUCUGUUCCAGAGCUUACGGGCUGACUCUCCGGGUUGUUGGAUUAUGUGACUUAGAUUGUCAGCGUCCGGAGGUCGGACAUAGGUCCCUUGAAUAUUGGCCCUGAAAGCAUCCUCAAGUUCCUCCCAACUUCCAAUUGAGUUUUCGGGGAGGAUUUUCAACCAAUGCCGAGCUGGUCCUUUCAACUUGAGGUGCAUGUAUUUGAUGGCGUGGAGAUCAUCUCCACGAGCCAUGUGGGUACGAAGGAUAAAGUCCUCAAUCCAGACCCCAGGGUCUGUCAUUUAGUUGUAUUCCUAUAUAUUCACGGGUUUAAAUCCCUCUGGAAAUUCAUGAUCCAGCACCUCAUCGGUGAAGCACAGGGGAUGCGCAGCACCCCUGUAUUUGGAUGUGUCGUGGCAUGCUGUUGACGGCUGUUGUGUUCGGUGUUGAUUCCGAGCUGGUAUUCGAUCGGUAUGAUCGUUUUGGUGGUUGUGAUCCUGCGCCGGAGUCCGUUUUCUAGAUCCGUAGAUGGACCUGGCCACACCAUUUUUUUGUUCAGGAGCUCACAUAAAUUGUGUGCUGACUUGUGUGUGGCAUCAUUAGCCGCCUUGUCGCGGCCACGGGGUGGUCGGUCUGGCUGAUUGGUUGUAUCAUUUUUCAGCGGGAUGGGCUCUAUGGCCUCGUCGUCGAAUUCGGGUAGCAGCUUGUGCUUUGGGUAGCUCUUUGUGUGGCGAUCAUCACCGUAUUUCUCUUUAAUGUCGAGCACUUUGUUCCAUCUGCGGUUGAGCGUAUCCUGCAUGGCCUUAAGCCUUUGCUUCUGCUUCUUCAAGCUCCUCGCGGUGGCAAUAAGCCUUCUAUGGAGGUUGUCUUGUUCCAAGUGUUUUUCCGGGAUGAUGAGUGCAUCAUCGCCCGGACUGUUCUCCUCUCCGGAGACAGGUUGAUGAGUUUUGCCCUCGGGAUCGCCGUCAUCGGACAUCGGCUCCAGACUAUGUUCACCGUCCCCUGGCUCAUCCUGCUCCAUCGCUGGGUCCAUGGGGUCGUCAUUUCCUUUGGAGUCGACUGGGGUGCUAUUCUUUCUUGCGCUGUUAUCAUUGUUUUUGCUGUGGCGGGAUUUAGAGCGGCGCCUACGUCGUCGCUUUGGUUUCUGCUCAAGGGGAUUAUCCUCCUUUGCAUCCCUUCGUUCCUCGCUGUUGUUUUCUUUAGUUGUAUCCACCAUGUAUAUAUCAUAUGAUGAGGUGGCUGUCCAGCGCCCUGCGGGCGGUGGUUCUUGUUCCUCUUUGGCGUCAUCGUCCAUACUUUUGAUGUCUUCAGAGUCGAAGUGAAGCAUGUCGGUUAAGUCAUCGACAGUGGCUAUUAAGUGGGUGGUGGGUGGGGAAUGAAUUCCUUCGUCGUCCGCUUCCCACUCAAGCCGGACAUAGUUCGGCCAAGAGUCUCCUGAUAAAGAGAGAGACCUUAAUGAGUUUAGCAUGUCGCCCAAGGGUGAGUGCUGAAAGAUAUCCACGGAGGUAAACUCCAUAAUCGGUGCCCAAUCAGAUUCGAUAGGCACGGACGCGCACGGUUUGGAACCUAUGACCGGAGACGAAUCCGAGGGUCCGAUGACACAGAUCUCUUUGGAAGUGAAGUCUGUGUUUGGCUCCAGCGCCAAUGAAUGUGCGGCCUCCGCGAUGGGGUCCAUCCACCCAUCCUUGGAUGGCGUGAUCUGCUCCAGAUUGAAGGCCGGGGCAGCCGCAGGUGCGAUCUCUCGAACACCGUUCGAUGGCAGAUCUAAGUCAUGCCCGUUGUUAGGCGCUCCUGACAAGGGCUCGAAUCCGUCGAAGAUAAAGUCUCCGCGGAUGUCUGUGGUGUAGUUCAAGUUUCCAAACCUGACCAGAUGGCCAGGGGCGUAGCUAUCGAUCUGCUCCAAACGGCCAAGCGAGUUGGCCCUCAGUAUGAUGCCACCGAAUACGAAGAUCUGUCCGGGGAGGAAAACCUCACCCUGGACCGCCUCAUUGCUGAUGAUUGAAGGAGCCAUCAAGCCUUAUCGCGACGACACAGUGGAACUCUCAAUGAAAGCACCAAUGUCGGUGUCAAAACCGGCGGAUCUCGGGUAGCGGGUCCCGAACUGUGCGUCUAAGGCUAAUGGUAACAGGAGGCUGGGGACAUGAUGUUUACCCAGGUUCGGGCCCUCUCGAUGGAGGUAAUAUCCUACUUCCUGCUUGAUUGAUCUUGAUGAUAUGAGUAUUACAAGAGUUGAUCUACCACGAGAUCGUAGAGGCUAAACCCUAGAAGCUAGCCUAUGAUAUGAUUGUUGUUGUCCUAUGGACUAAACCCUCCAGUUUAUAUAGACACUGGAGGGGGCUAGGGUUACAUAGAGUCGGUUACAGAGAAGGAGAUCUACAUAUCCGGAUUGCCAAGCUUGCCUUCCACACAAAGGAGAGUCCCACCUGGACACAGGACGAAGUCUUCAAUCUUGUAUCUUCAUAGUCCAACAGUCCGGCCGAAGUAUAUAGUCCAGCUGUCCGAGACCCCCUAAUCCAGGACUCCCUCAGCCCCCAUUCCAGAGGUGCGUCGGACAACACAUCUGGGGAGAUUAAAACUCCCUCUUCCGAAGAUGAAAGGGAAAGGGAAACUGACAUCUCUUCUUCCCAUGGCGAGAAGAGGAUCACUUCCGAAGACCUGAAUACAAAGGCUUCUAAGCGAGGGAAGAUAUCCCUAUCAGGGGCUCUGGUCCGGGAGGUGAUGUUGACAUGUAGUAUCUCCAUAAAGACAGGCCCGCAGCUGAAUCGUAAGUGAACAUGGGUGUUCUAAACAUAUCCCCUUCUUUCUUGGUUGCUCGAGUAAUAUUUAAAAUAUAUGUUUGCAGUCCGGCAUGCAACCUUCCUCAACAGUCCUCCUCCUAGGGGGGUCUCCUUCUAGAGAUGAUGGAGAGUGAAACUCCUCCACAGAUCUCCCUGCCCGAUAAGGCAAACGACGUCGAGGUGUCAUCCAAGAGCAUCUCUCCCGAUCAAUAGAUGGCGCGAGGGGCAGCAAAGACCGUGCCCGAAGAUGACACUCCGGCCGCGCAGGGUUCGGGGUAUGCGGCCCCUACAGGGAACUAUAACAAAGGCCCCAGACUACUCAGCUUCCGAGGGAUGACGCAUUAUGCUACGGAUCCAGAGGCACCGGAUACUGUGACAGACACGUUGCGGCACGCGUCCGUCUCAGAGGAACAUCGUACCUUGAUGGUUACGGUGGUUGAAAGGGUUCGGUCCACAAAAGGCGUAUUGAAUGAAGCCUUUAUGAGCCUGCUCAGAGGCUUUGAGGUAUGUAAUGUAAUUUUUUGUGUGUUAUAAAUGCAAAAUGCACCUAUGUAUAGAUAGUAGCCCCUGAGACUCUGGUUGACAUCCAAAGGGAGGCGAUCAGAGGAUCAAGAAAAUAUAUGCCCAGGAAAUGAUCUGACUAAAUGAAACACAUGCCAUUACAUCCGUGGCAACUGCCCAAGCUACAAAGGUAGCACAUCUGAAGCAGAAAGUUGAUGUACCAGAUGAUGACAUCGCGCUUAUUAACAGGCGGCUCGAUGUGGCGCAAGGUAUGUCUUUGGGCCCCUCAGUACAUGCUAGUAUUAUGAAAUCAGUGUGACACUGAGAAUUUUAUAUGCAUAACUUCAGAUAGUGCCGCCGCAAUUGAGACCCGAAGAGGGUUGAACUUGCCCGGGCCAAGGAGCAAGCCAGGAUGAGUAAUGCGGCUGCCGAAAAGGCGGCUGCUGAAUUGAAGGCCGAAGAAGGUUGCCUGGCGCCAGUGUGAGUAGAGAAUAUCCACUAUGGCGCAAGAGCUAAAGGAUGCCGCUGGACGAUGCGAACUGCUCGAAAAAGAUAACCAAAACAAAAGUGGCUCAUCUUAACAAGGCCUUACAAGAGGCGAGAGAAGCGCGGUCUGAGUCAAGAGCGGCUUGGGAGGAGAUCCGACAAGCUGGGGAGAUCGCGGCUGGUAAGCCCUUCUUAUUGCAAACUAAAUUUGGCGAUCCAAAGUAUGCCCCGCUUAAUCAGGUGUGGAGUUCUCCAGAUGCAUUUUUGGACUUGCCGAAGAGUGUCUUCAAUGCGACGCGGUUUUUCCAAGCGCAAGAAGGACACGUGACGGAAAAGCUUUUCUGGUCACAAUUUAGCAUGCCAAAGCAUCCGUUGUUAUUGAACAAACAAAUGACCCUGUGGGCCGAGCUCCACAAGCUAUCUGGAUCUGCCAUGAGGGACGUCGUAGUCAGGCUGUGGCCGACUGAGCCAUUUCUGAAUAGUUAUUUCGGUUUGGUGCGGCGACUUGUUGAUGCGGUACCGCGUAUCGAUGUUGUAAAGCAGUCAACAUGCAUAGAAGGUGCGCGGAUGGCCCUUUCCCGUGUCAAGACAUACUGGGCGAAGAUGAAGGCCACCGAUGUUGCAGCAAAAAGUCCACCCGAGGGCAAGGACUAUCACGUGCCGGAACAUUAUUUUGAAGAUGUCCUAGAGGGUGCCCGCUUAAUAGAGGGUCAGUGCUCGAAAUAUAUUAUGUUCGAGUGAAGUUGUAUUGAAAUUGUAAAAACAAUAUUAUGAUAUAUUUAAGGCUAUUUUUGGUACUUUUUCCUAAAAAGUUUUGGUGCCUCUUGUGCGGCCGUUUUUAUAUAAUCUGAAAGUUUAUCAGUCGUCGGCUUCAGCCCCUCUUGCGUAUAACGCUGGGGUGUUCGGAAAAGCAUUUGAUCACUCUUGACCCAACGUCUUGGUCCAUUAAGGAGGUGUCAAUGCGGUGAACCAGGCAAUCGGACUAUAGGGCUUUAACACUUUCACUUAGCCAUAGGAGUUUGACGGUGGGUCUAAGAUAUAGCCCCUGGUACGUAUGCAGUUAUCCGAAUAUGGUGUGUUUACAUGCGUGACCACAAAAAUGGUCCUUCAUUAAUGCGGAAGGAAUCACGAAGAUUCCGCUGAGUCAUCGAGUGGUUGAACAGCUCUCGCCGCAUCAUGACAGUCAGUUUUCAGCUUUCUCUACUGAGUUGCUCAUCCGGAUGAACGAGGACACAAUCGCAGUAGUUCUCCCUUUACUACCCUAGCCGAUAGAGUGAAACGUAAGGUAGUAAGCACAGGAGUCGGGCAACCCAACUAUUGACCAAAUACAUGAUUCAGAGUUGAUGCAUAUAAGGCCAAACUCGCGACGCCGAACACUCCCUAUAGGUGUUCGGACUUUUCAAUAUAUACUGGGCUGAAUACAGCCCCUGGUAAUAGACCCUGGUAUCAAGGCACGCAUGGCAAUCUGACGCGGGGUAAGAACACAGGUGGUGAGAGAAUAAAUCUUAGAACACAAUACGAACCAAACUGCUUCUAUAAUAUCCACUUUUAGUAUGGCGAGCCGUAUACUUACAGAUAAUGCCGAUAUCUUCCUUGGACACUUUACAUGCCAGGGAAGUAUAAAACAAAAAGAGAUAAAAAGGUUUACACAGGGUCUUAAUCUAAAAACGAAACCUUAAUGCGGGGCCCUGCUGCACGACUCCAUCGUUUUCUCUGUUGUGAAAUGUCCUUGAAGGGUAUAGUGUGAUGGCCCACUGUAAAAAAGGGGAAAAGACCAGGUAAAAGAGUCUGGUGUGGCCGUAAGUAAAGCUGGUUCGUUUUAAUGAACCGUGAAAGAUAACUUCUAGAGUCCGAAUAGGGUCGAGCCGAACUAUGGACUUUUUGUGUGCAGUGUGCCCCCGGCGCUGCCCAAGGAAUUUUGAGUGUAUAUUUGUGUACACGUGGCACGUGUGCUAUCUCCUUAUGGGGCAGUCGAUGGGGGCUUAACUGCUAAUCGAGAUCGGGUUUAUCUGAGCUGCCGCGCUGAGGCAUGCGUCGGACACGUUUAGCUGUGUCUGCGGUCUUGACAACCGAUGAGCUGUUCGGCUUAAAUAGGUCAUUUUGGGCUUUGGCUGAUAGAGCCGCAGCGUACUCUUCUGUGCGAAGAGAGCGCUCCAUAUUUCCACUGACCGUAAUGAUGCCACGCGGUCCAGGCAUUUUGAGCUUUAGAUAGGCAUAAUGCAGGACUGCAUUGAAGCGAGCGAAGGCCGUUCUUCCGAGUAGUGUAUGAUAGCCACUUUGGAACGGAGCUAUGUCGAAGAUUAGUUCUUCGCUUCGAAAGUUAUCAGGAGAGCCGAAUACGACCUCCAAUGUCAAAGAGCUCGUGCAGCGGGCCUCUACGCCCGGUAUAACUCCUUUAAAGGUUGUGCUGCUUGGCUUGAUUCUUGACGGGUCUAUCCCCAUUUUGCGGACAGUGUCCUGAUAUAUCAAAUUGAGACUGCUGCCGCCGUCCAUAAGGACUCGAGUGAGAUGGUAUCCAUCGAUUAUUGGAUCGAGCACUAGGGCAGCCGAACCCCCGUGACUGAUACUAGUCGGAUGAUCCCUGCAAUCAAAGGUGAUCGGACAGGCCGACCAUGGGUUGAAUUUGGGGGCAACAGGCUCAACGGCAUAGACAUCUCGGAGUGCGCGCUUGUGCUCCCUCUUUGGGAUGUGAGUCACAUAGAUCAUGCUCACUGUUUUAAUCUCCGGUGGAAAUUUCUUCUGUCCCCUCGUGUUCGGCUGGCAAGAUUCGUCCUCGUCUUCGCUUUGAGAUCCCUUCCCCUUGUGCUCGGCAUUGAUUUGUCGGCCUGCUUGAAGACCAUCUGGCAGGGCAUGUCUAGAAUUUUGUCUAGGCUGGAUGGACCGUCUUUAUUGCCUUUAAAUGGCUUCUUCAGUUGACCGGGUAUGGGGCAACUGAAUCCGGCGUUUACCGUUGUAUUGUCUGGGCUUUCUUCAUUGUUUCGACGUUUGUUUUUGUUGCGUUGUGGCUUUCCAUUGCCAUCCCUGACCUCAGAUGUGCCAGGAUCUCACUAGUGCUGCUACGGGCUAACCAGCUGUCCUCACCCGCGCAAAAACGGGUCAUGAGUGUAGUUAAGGCUGCCAUUGUCCUUGGCUUUUACUGUCCGAGGUGUCUGGCUAGCCGUUCAUCCUGGACACUAUGUUUGAAGGCCGCUAAGGCUUUGGCGUCCGGACAAUCGACGAUUUGGUUCUUCUUAGUGAGAAACCGGUUCGAAAGCUUACGGGCUGAUUCUCUGGGUUGUUGGAUUAUGUGACUUAGAUCGUCUGCAUCCGAGGGCCGGACAUAUGUCCCUUGGAAAUUGGCUUGAAAAGCGUCCUCAAGUUCUUCCCAGCUUCCAAUGGAGUUUUCACGGAGGCUUUUCAGCCAGUGCCGAGCUGGUCCUUUCAGCUUGAGGGGUAAGUACUUGAUGGCGUGGAGAUCAUCUCCACGAGCCAUGUGGAUGUGAAGAAUAAAGUCUUCUAUCCAAACCGCAGGGUCUGUCGUUCCAUCAUAUGCCUCGAUGUUUACGGGUUUAAACCCUUCUGGAAAUUCGUGUUCCAGCACCUCAUUGGUGAAGCACAGGGGGUGUGUGGCACUCCUGUAUUUGGCUGUGUCGUGGCGUGGGUCCGACGGUUGUAAUGUUUGGUAUUGGUUCCGAACUAGUAAAUGACCGGCAUAUUUGGUUUGAUAACCAUGGUCCCGUGUAGGAGCACGUUCCCUGGAUCCAUAGAUGGACCUGGUUUUGCCAGCCUUUUUGUCCAGGUCCUCACGUAGAUCGUGUUCCUGGUCCCGAGCCACGGCCUCCUUUCCUUUGCAGGGAGGGGGUGAGGGCUUGUGUACGCCAUUGCUGGCCACUCUGUCUCAUCCACGAGGUGGACUGUCCGGCUUGUCGGGAGUAUUGUUUUUCGGUUGUAUAGGCGGAAUAGCCUCAUCGUCGAAUUCGGGCAGUAAUUUACGCUUAGGAUAGCCCUCUGUUUGGCGAUUGCAGCCAUAUUUUUCCUCGGCGUCUAGCACUUCGUUCCAUCUAUCAUUGAGUGUAUCAUGUGCGGCUUUUAGCUGCUGCUUCUGCUUCUUCAGGCUCCUCGCUGUGGCGAUAAGCCUCCGGUGGAGGCGCUUUUGUUCUAAGGGUUCUUCCGAGACGAUGAAUUUGUCGUCGCCCAGACUGACCUCCUCUUCGGAGACAGGUUGGUAAUUGGUAUCUUCGGCGUCGCUGUGGUCAGAUAGGGGUCCCGAAUUGUGUUCGCCGUCCUCUCGCUUGUCCUGCUCCAUUGCUGGAUCUGUGGGGUCCUCGGCUUGGUCCGGAUUAUCACCGUCGUUAGUGACAAUGUUGCUACCUUUUCCUUUGCCGGAUCGAGAUCGGUGCUUCUGAUGCCGAUGCUUAGGAGGUUCAUCGAUAGGCUUAUCAUUAUUGUCGUCGGUCUCCUUUUCUUUAAGUGCGUCCACCAUAUAUACCUCGUAUGAGGAUGUAGCCGUCCACUGCCCUGUGAGCGGUGGUUUUUGUGCCUGCUCCUCUCUGGCAUCGUUGUCCAUAUCAUUGAUGUCUUCGGAGCCGUAAUCGAACGUGUCAGUUAAGUCUUCGACAAUGGCUAUGAAGUGGGUGGUGGGUGGGGAGCGAAAUUCUCCGUUAUCGGCUUCUAAUUCAAGCCGGACCUAGUUCGGCCGGGAGUCCCCCGACAAGGAGAGGCAUUUCAAUGAGUUGAACACAUCGCCUAGAGGUGAGUGCUGGAAGAUGUACACAGAGCUGAACUCCAAGAUCGGCGCCCAAUCAGGUUCGAUGGACGCGGAUGCAAGCGGUCCAGAACCUAUGGCCGGAGACAAAUCCGAGGUUCCGGUGGCACAAGCCCAGCUCGAUGUUGGGUCUGUGUGCGGCUCGAACGCUGCUGAGUCUGCGGCUUCCGUGGUGGAGUUGAGCUUCCGUCCUCGCAUGGUGUGGUCUGCUCCGGAUCUAGGGCCAGAGCGGUUACAGGCGCUAUCUCAUGAGCGCGGUCCGAUGAUAGAUUUAGGUCAUGUUCAUCGUGGUGGCAGGGAACAGCCGUCAUGGGUUCGAAUCCGUCGAAGAUCAAGUCUCCGCGAAUAUCAGCUACAUAAUUCAGGCUUCCAAAUCUGACCCGAUGGCCAGGGGUGUAGCUAUCGAUCCGCUCUAGAUGGCCAAGCGAGUUAGCCUGCAGUGCGAAGCCGCCGAAUACGAAGAUCUGUCCGGGGAGGAAGAUCUCCCCCUGGACUGCAUUGUUGUAGAUGAUUGAUGGAGCCAUCAAGCCUUCUGGUGACGGUGCAGCGGAACUCUCAAUGAAAGCACCAAUGUCGGUGUCAAAACCGGCGGAUCUCGGGUAGGGGGUCCCGAACCGUGCGUCUAAGGCUAAUGGUAACAGGAGGCAGGGGACACGAUGUUUACCCAGCUUCGGGCCCUCUCUAUGGAGGUAUUACCCUACUUCCUGCUUGAUUGAUCUUGAUGAAUAUGAGUAUUACAAGAGUUGAUCUACCAUGAGAUCGUAAUGGCUGAAACCCUAGAAUUCUAGCCUAUGAUUAUGAUUGUAGUUGCCUCUACGGACUAAACCAUCCGGUUUAUACAGACACCGGAGUGGGCUAGGGUUACACAAAGUCGGUUACAGAGAAAGGAAUCUACAUAUCUAAAUCACCAAGCUUGCCAUCCACGCAAAGGAGAGUCCCAUCCGGACACGGAAAGAAGUCUUCUGUCUUGUAUCUUCAUAGCCCAGCAGUCCGGCCCAUGCUAAUAGUCCGGCUGUCCGAGGACCCCUUAAUCCAGGACUCCCUCAUGCCUUCCUGCCCAUGUAUAUAAAGGAGCAAGGGGGAGGCUGGCCGGCCCUCCAAGGGUGCGUCCCCAAUAGGGUAAUCCUACUAGGACUCCAAGUCCUAGUAGGUUUCCACCUAAAGGGAGAGAGGGGGGAAGGAAGGAGAGGGAGAGGGGGAAGGCAAGGGGGCGCCACCCCCCCCCCCCUUCCUUGUCCUAUUCGGACUCAAGGGGAGGGCGCGUGCGGCCUGCCCUGGCCAGUCCCUCUCUCUCUCCACUAGGGCCCAUCUAGGCCCAUUAGUUCCCCGGGGGGUUCCGGUAACCCUCCGACACUCCGGUUUUAUCCGAAACUUCUCCGGAACACUUCCGGUGUCCGAAUAUAGUCGUCCAAUAUAUCAAUCUUUAUGUAUUGACCAUUUCGAGACUCCUCGUCAUGUCCGUGAUCAUAUCCGGUACUCCGAACAAUCUUCGGUACAUCAUAUCACAUAAACUCAUAAUACCAAUCGUCAUCAAACAUUAAGCGUGCGGACCCUACGGGUUCGAGAACUAUGUAGUCAUGACCGAGACACGUCUCUGGUCAAUAACCAAUAGCAGAACAUGGAUGCUCAUAUUGGUUCCUACAUAUUAUAUGAAGAUCUUUAUUAGUCAAACCGCAUAACAACAUACGUUGUUCCCUUUGUCAUCGGUAUGUUACUUGCCCGAGAUUCGAUCGUCGGUAUCUCAAUACCUAGUUCAAUCUCGUUACCGGCAAGUCUCUUUACUCGUUCCGUAAUACUUCUUCCCGCAACUAACUCAUUAGUCACAAUGCUUGCAAGGCUUAUAGUGAUGAGUAUUACUGAGAGGGCCCAGAGAUACCUCUCCAAAACACGGAGUGACAAAUCCUAAUCUCGAUCUAUGCCAACCCAACAAACACCUUCGGAAACACCUGCAGAGCACCUUUAUAAUCACCAAAUUACGUUGUGAUGUUUGGUAGCACACAAAGUGUUUCUCUGGUAUUCGGGAGUUGCAUAAUCUCAUAGUCUGAGGAACUUGUAUAAGUCAUGAAGAAAGCAGUAGCAAUGAAACUGACACGAUCAUAAUGCUAAGCUAACGGAUGGGUCAUGUCCAUCCCAUCAUUCUCCUAAUGAUGUGAUCCCGUUAAUCAAAUGACAACACAUGUCAAUGGUUAGGAAACAUAACCAUCUUUGAUUAAUGAGCUAGUCAAGUAGAGGCAUACUAGGGACUAUAUGUUUUGUCUAUGUAUUCACACAUGUACUAAGUUUCCAGUUAAUACAAUUCUAGCAUGAAUAAUAAACAUUUAUCAUGAAUUAAGGGAAUAAAUAAUAAUUUUAUUAUUGCCUAUAGGGCAUAUUUCCUUCACUACCACCGAACUCCAAGUGGUACUACCACCCGAGGGUCCGGUACUACCGCCCUGCCUGCGCACAGCGUCUCUGGGCCGAGGCCCAUGUACUUGUUCCGCCCUUUACUUACCCCUUCAUGGCCCUAGACUAUAUAUACUCCUCCACCUCCUAUGUUUUAGGGUUAGCAUUGGUUUAGCUCAUAUUUGAGAUAGAGCUUUGCUCAUCCACUUGGUUACUUCUCCAUCAGAGUUCACAACCUCUUCGGAGAAGAUCCCCCAAGCGAAUUCAAGACCCCAUCACGGGAAGACCCUUCAAGACCUCCUCACGGAGAAGACCUUUGUAUCGUCCUUUGUUGACUUUGGAUCGUGUAUCACUCUUUGUGUUUCGAGGAUCUAGCAUAUGUGUGACCGAAUCUUGUUGGUUUGAGUGAUUCUCUCGUGUUUCCCCUCAUGAUUUCUCCUCGUGUUCUUCAUGUUCUUCGUAGGAUCCCCUCCAAUCAUGAACGAUCGGGCAUCUAGGGUUCUAGCCUACAUCACACUUCCAAAAGAAAAUAUAACAACAUGUAAAUCAAAUGUACCAAUUGACAGGCGCAGGAAGUUGUGAACCAGCCGAAAGCUACAUCCGGCCGGGGACGGUAAUUGACUUUGACAAUGGUGAUUAUAAUGAAUUUACCACUCAUACCCAAGUUCAGGGUCUCGAGAUGGGUGAUAACCCUACAUUCUACUGCUAAGAUAUAUUGAUACAAGGGGUUCACCAAGUACAAGAGCUAGAUUGCAUCCACAAAGGUUGGUCUUGCAAGAAUGGCCCACUCUUCGACAAGGAUCUCCAGGAAGCAUCUUCCUUAGUAGAUAGUCGUCAAUUUUCAACACGAUCGUAGCUCUAGCCAAACUAUAACGAGCUUUUCUUAGCAGUAGGUCUAACGAGCUAGACCACUCUUUACAAAAAAAAGAUGAGGUAGGCCCCACUUGCUGCGGUGGGCUUCAAUGUCGUGGGUUUCCUAGAGAAGCCACCUUUGGGUUGGGCAUACUAGGGUUUUGUAGCGUGUUCAACAAAUUGACUUUUUUUCUACAACUGCACAAGGUUCGCGUAUCAUUUCAUUCAUAGGUAAGAGAGAACAACAAUCGCAUCAAGAAGAGAGAAAGGGGGCAUCAUACUAGGUGUGGGAAGAGUCGAACAAGGGAUGCAACACAACACUAAACUCACCUAGCAAGAAUUCCAGCCAAGGAAGGCGAGGAGACGAGACACAAGGCACCUAGACCGCAUCAUAACAAAUGCGAGGCCCCUGCUUCGCACCGCUAUGACUCGAGGACUGACUGGAUGAACAUACCCCUCACCUUAAGCACCUAGAGGAGUCGACAAGUGGGUUGCGGGACUAGGCCGGGCUGGAAGGAGAAGCCGUGGAGGAAGCGCCAACAAUGUCAUACAUUGCGCCCCUGGAUGUCCAUGCCCUGGGAAGCAACCCGAAGAAACACGGCGUCCAACAUCUCCAAAUUCAACACCGGGCCCGCUGCGAACAACCAAGAUAGCGCCUUCGCAAAGGGGACAAUGUCGUGUCGCCGCCAUCCAAUCUGGUGAACCAGAUCUAGGGUUUUCCCCGGUGCUCAAAGAGGGGCACGGAGAAAGGCCAUGGUAGUGCCUCCAGAAGGGGGACAACGACAUCCUCAAGUGUUGUCAUUGCCAGCAUCGGCAAGCCUAGCAGAGAUUUCAUCCCGGGCAUGUGACCCAAAAUUCCCAAAAGCCAAGCAAACCGACAUUGGAGGUGGUUUUGCUUCAUGUUUUUGUUUCGAGAAUAUUGGGCGCACCUACGAAGAUCUCCAGGAGACUUGUUUUCGUGCAGUAACAAGCAUUUGCAGGCCAUGAUUCUUUUUUUCUGCUUUAUGUAAUUGGUUGUUUCUCUUUGGCAUUCUGACAUCAUUUUUUAUUCUAGAAAUGUAAAAAACUGACGUCAGAUUUUUAAUCACCGCAAAUAAAACUUUUUUUAUGACAAAUUAAGUUUUCGCGAGGAUGGCAAUUCCUUUUAGUAAGCAUGGUAAAUCCUGGCAAAAAAUUGAACAUGCCUAGGACUUGUCAUGCUUACUAAAGAAAAUUGUCAUCCUCGCGACAACUUAACUUGCCAUAACAAACUCGAUUUGUAGUGAAAUGCUUUUAUUUUAUUUUAAAAAAAGUGUGCAUCUUUCUUUUUGACAGCUCGAUGACGCUAGUGUGCAUCUAUAACUGGUGCAGAUCUAUGUUGGCUAAUAAAGCUUCUAUUUUAUUAAAAAAUAAUCAAACGUACAAGCAAAGCAACUGCAAGUUUGCAAACCAUCAACAGAUCAUGGAUCUUUCCUUCAGCAUACGCACAUGCAACAACAAAAAGUUUGGGCAAGUGACAGUUCUGCUUCCUCUUCCACACAGAGCUGAUCCACAAACGCUCACACAGCUCUAGGACUGCCAUUGCGCCACAGCACCAGAACUUUUCAGCCUGGACACCUGCGCCACACAAACCCCCACCAAUAACAACCGGAAGAUAACAGAAAAAGAAAACAAAAACAAAAAAAGAAAGCUCCAAGCCUACCUCUAGAGGAAGAAGCAGCAGUGGCAGCGGCAGCAAUGGCAGCAGCCGCUCUCCAGUGCUGCCCUCUGCUGAGCUCACCGCCGGCAUCAUCCGUCUUGCCGCCUUCCUCUAUAAAAACACUGGCGGUUAGCAGGAUAGGGGAGGCCAGGAGGAGGAGGCUGCAGCGAUGUCGCUGUUCCCAGUCUGCCGAGGGGCGAUCACCGGGUAGCUCGCCUCCGCAGCUGGAGCGCCUCUUCUCCAAUGUCAACAAGGCAACCAUGAAGCACGAGCCAGGUAACCAUGCUCGGAUCAUGCAGUCUGUUGCUUUGCCGAGCUUUCUUGCGCGUUUUUGGCCUUUGGGGCGCACCUGAUGGGAUUGUCUCUGUUUUUCGCUUGGAUGUGCCAGGGAGUAUCACCAGUUCCAUCUUCCUUGUGGCAGGCACAACGGUAACGUUUUCCUUUUUUUCUUACCGCCCUUGAAGUAAUGUAAGACCUGAAAUUUUGAUGUCAGAUUGCUUAGUAGGCUGCAGGUAAAGGCUUUUUUUAAAUGCAAUGCGCCUGUCGAGAAUCAGUGAAAUGUAAAAGACCACACGACAGAGAUCAGAUAAAACAUUGAGGACAACAACCCUGUCUCACGAAACUAGCAUUGCAAGCCAAAAAAUCCACAAGGAAUAAUACUACGCACCUUGUGUGUGCGUGCGGUUUGAACUUGUGUUGGCCCUUGUAGCUGUGGUGGUUUGCUUUAUCUAUAAAGCGGAGCGAAAGCCUUUUUCGGUAAUAAUACUACGCACCUUGACACAUCAGUAGCUUUGCGACAAAACUCAAUCCAUAGCAGCAUUAUUUCACACAUGUUAGAAACUACGUACUUGAGACAUCCCUUUGGAGUAAACAUAUAUUUCAGGAAUAGUUCGGAGUAAGAAAAGGCUUAUUAUGUUACAUAACUAACCUUCCUUUUCAUCAAUGUUGGUGCCAUAGGUCGGGGCAGGUAUCCUUGCGAUCCCUGCCGUCACACAGGAAGCUGGAUUCUUGGCCUCAGCGGUCACAUGCAUUUUCUGCUGGGCAUAUAUGGUAAUAGAAUGUCAAUUGACUGGGUAAACUAUCAAACCUGAUGUGUUAGAGGUGACAUGCAGUCAGAGAAGCCUCUCAAAGGUAAACCCUUUUGCAUUGCGCUUUCCUGGAUAAAUUCUCGUCGUAAAGAAUAUUUGCUUGUUGUGUGUGUCACCUGAUACGGGAGGGUUUGAUAGUUUCACCCAUAUUUUGUCGAAUUCACUUACUUGUCUGCACUUACAGUUUUCGUUUGCCAUCGCUUUCUCCAGGUUGUAACAGGGCUGUUAGUUGCUGAAGUAAAUGUCAAUACAAUGUGUGAGCUAGGAUCUGGAGGUGUCUCCCUGGUAGUUAACGCGUCACUCCAUUGCUGAUUUCCUGAUCAAAGUUUCUAUUAGAGGCAAUUAAAAUGAAUCUACGAUUAUGUGAUUUAGCUAAAAAGUGGCAUAUGAUAGGAGGUUGAUCCAAUAUCACCUAGUGCUUGGAUAUAUUUCACCUGAACACAAGAUAGAAAUGAAUUAAGACUGGCAAAAGAUAGAGAAUGAUACACGCUCCAAAUACCAGAAAGUGCUCAAUAAUGGGUGGGAUGUUGCACCUAUCCAUCUAUGAUAUGUAUUUCAUUCCUUGUAUAUUUUGCAUCUUGCGUGGUUGAAAGUAGCAAGCAUACUCUCUGAAGGCUCUCUUUUUCCAGGUUUCAAUGGCUAAGCGCACUCUAGGGACAGUUGGAGUAAGAACAGCCUGGUAUAAUAAAUUCUUAUGUAUAUAAGAACUCCAAAUCAUAAUAUACAUUGAUAUGAACAUCAUAAUGGGAUUCAUAUCACUAUGUAAUACACUCAGUUACAAAUUCCUAUUUGAACUGGAGAAUUUUGACCAUAAUUUCUAUGUGCCUGCAGCUUUUCAUAUUUGUUUAUACAUUAUGCACUUCUUGUUGCGUAUGUGGCACGCUCUUCAGAGAUCUUAACAAACUCAUUGGGCAUUCCAUUGUAUGACCUCUUUCCAUGAUCUUCAUUUUAUUAGCCAAUACAUUUAUUUUCCCAGCUUUUGUUGUAAAGAUGACGUAUUCAUCUUACUAGUGUAUAGAGAUGUAGUGUCUAUUAUAUGCUUUACCUUUGUGUUGUAACCCCAGAAAAACAAAAUAUCAGGAGCUUGCAUUAUGUGAGAAACAACUGCUAUGGAAUUUAAUCAAUUUACACUAGUCGGUACUUCUACAAUCCACAUAAAUAUUUUCCUGCAUGUAGGUUCUACGUAGCAUUUACUAACCAUCAUUGGUCAUCAUCAUGCAUUUGAUUUAGUGUUCAGUAAUUUCUUUUCUUCAACCAUUGAUGACGUCAGUAUGCUUACAGAUGGGAGAGUGCCACACUAUUUUCACUGGCUUUUGGGGGUUUAUGCUACUUCGGAAGGUAUUUGAGAAAUGUUACUGCAUCAUAUUAGAUGAUGCACUUCCAGUAAUAGCAAACAAAAUUGUUCAAGCAGAUGUUUCGCUUUUUUAGUUCCAUGCUACUUAACUUCAGGGUUCAUCACAAGAUAUUUUCAAAUUAUGUUAUGGGAGCUCCUGACUACAUCCAGUGUAGCUUCAAGUCUACUACUUUGUACUCCCUCCGUUCCUAAAUAUAAGCGUUUUUAGAGAUUCCAAUAUAGACUACAUACGGAGCAAAUUGAGUAAAUCUACACUCUAAAUACAUCCGUAUGUUGUCCCUAUUGAAAUCUCUAAAAGGUCUUAUAUUUAGAACGGAGGGAGUAACCAUUAAGGGUUAACUUCAUUCUCGAUUUGCAAAACAAAUGCAUAUGCAAUUAUUAAGGUUCACAAAAGAGGAUAGUCUAUCAUAUAGCAGAUAUUAUAGAAAUUUGUUAUAUAGAAUUUAUUUUAUAACAGAUAUUGCAUUAAGGCUAUUUCUUACUGAUAUUUGUUAUACAGAAAUUUCUGUCCUAAUGUCCCUAAUUACUUAGGAAAUUUAUUAUAUAACAUGGUAUGCCAUGAAGUCACAAUUGUUGAAUACUUCUUUCAGAGAUUAUAAGCAGUAAAACUAAUCUUCUUGAUGGCUGCAGUCAGAGAGUCAUUGGUGCCGUGAAUGGCUUUUUGGUGUUCAGUAUCAUAACAUCCUUCACAGCUCUUGUGGUAAGUGGAGUUCUACAUUAACCCGUCAUAAAUAUUUGAAACCUUGAUGAUCCUAGGCUUUUAGCAGUCGACAAAGAGAAUGAAACAUGACUACAUUUCCUGAAAAUAACUUACAAGCCUACAAAUUUUGGUUGCAAAAUACUCUGUUAGUGAGAUAAAAAUUUAAGACAGUCCAAGUGUGCACGUACAGUAAGCUACAUGAGCGUAAGUGUAUAGGUCCAAAUCCUCAAUGCUUAUAGAUAAACAGGUUCUAUUUGACAGGAAAUAUUGCCAUUCUUUUAGUACCCAGUAAUAGUUGUUGGAAUACAGAAAAAUUAUGUCCGGCGAGUGACGACAAAGAUAACAUGAGCAACCACUAGGAAAUUUCUUUCGCGUAAGGUACAUCCUACAACAAAGUAUAGACACUGAACAAACGGGUGUGACCUUCACAGGUGGUGGCAAGUGGAAACAUACAGUGGAGUUCUCUUCUCGAAACGAAUUUUGCUGCUGCUCCCCAAAGUAUACCAAUAAUUGCUCUUUCAUUCGUAUAUCAGGUAAUCUCGCUUACCAUAUUCACGUCGAAAAAUUAAUCUUCUUGGUAUUUGACUGAGUAUAUUCCUGAUUCCUGAACAGAAUGUAGUUCCUGUUCUGUGUACAAAUUUGGAGGGAGACCUAUCAAAAGUAAGGUAAGGUUGUGAAGAUAAAUGUGUACACUACCUGCAUAAGUACAGCAGUUGUUACUUGUGACAUCAAAAGGAUAGACAGAGUUUUCAGACUUACAGCAACAGAGCAAUAUAUGCCUUCUUUCGAGAAAACAUAAGAUCUUGAAGAACAAGAAAAUUUUCUCAUUAAAAAGGGACAGACAUAUUUAUGUUGGACCGGUCACGCUACUAUAUCCUAAGUUGGUGACUUCCAGAGGCAUAUGAUAAUCUUACUGAAUCUUGCAGGAAGGCCAUUGUGUUAGGUACUGCCAUACCCCUUGCUCUGUUUCUCAUAUGGGAUGCUGUCAUCCUGGGGACAAUCCCGGGGUUUGCAGAAAGUGGGACUAUUACUGAUCCAUUACAACAACUUAGGUCAAGCAAUGGUACAGUGGGGGUAAGUAUUUUUCAAGAUGUUCUUAUGAUGUGCGAUAAAUGGGGAUUGAUUUGAAACACCUUCUUAUUUGCAGCCUAUCGUUGAGGCAUUCUCAUUUUUGGCAAUAGGCACAUCAUACAUUGGAUUUGUUCUAGGACUCUCAGACUUCAUCGCAGACUGUAAGUAUCUUCUUCAGUCCAGACUCCAGAGCAAUCAUAUUUUUGAGCUAGGAAGAGGUCUAGAGCUUACUGCUAUUAAUUCAUUAUCCUUCUCUUUUUUGCUUCUUCUAUACAACUUUGCAGUGCUCAAACUACCAAGUGGACAGAACAAACCUCUGACGUACCUUGUAACUUUGUUCCCUCCGCUUGUUCUGUCACUGCUUGAUCCAGAGAUAUUUUUCAAGGCAUUGGACUUUGCAGGAACUUAUGGAGGUAAGGAUGCUUUUACAGUAUCUCUAGUCCCAAUGAGAAAUACUGGACUCCUUGCAGGCUGCAGACACAAAAUAAUAUACUGAUAUAGAAUAGCAGAACAUUUCAUAUGGUCUGCUACAAUCUACUGCAAUGACCUUUUAUGAAUAGGAAGUGCAGAAUAUUCGUAUGAUUCACUUAUUGUUGAAAUAUUAGAUUUGUUACUUGGAGAAAUGAACUGAUCCCUUGCAUGUAUUCUUUUCAGUUCUGGUACUCUUUGGAGUUUUCCCUGCAGCCAUGUCUUGGUCAGAGAGAUACUCAAAUGACUUGGAAGCUCCUAUAUCCCCCAUAGUCCCAGGAGGGAAAUUAACCCUCUCAUUUGUUAUGGGGGGCGCCUUGCUUGUAAUAUUUUCGGAGAUUUUCAAGGACAUAAUGCAGUUACAAGGACUACAUUGACAAUUACGACGUGCAAAGUUCCACUACUGAUGCUUCUGCAGAUUUUUGUGCAAUGUAUUAACACACCCAAAAGAGACUAAUCUGGUAUUUCUAGCUUUUCUUAACCCCUUUGCGGUUUCAUCAAGAUAUUCAGUCAAGUUGAGUUGUGUUGUACAUAUUUACAUGUGUGCAAAUGAAUAACUGAAUGAUUUCAUUAGCUCGAUUGGAGUUCACGAUGUUUCUUGACUUGUUCGGGUACGCUAUCAAGACUUUUGAACUUAUCCCCAGACUACACACAUUGACUCAGACAACUGUGCAAGGGCAUAUCCUACUAAAGAGUAAACAAGAACUAGCAAGCAGAAGCUCACAAUGAGAAAAACAUACUGUAUACCACUGCCACUGUGCCAGAGUUUAACUGAUUCUCUUCUACCAAAAAUCAUUGCAAGAACAAGUUCCCCCUCUAAAAUGAUGGAACCUGGCUCUAUCACGAACCACAAUUUCCCGUUGAUAGAUCUUGGACACUAGCUUAGCAAACUUGUGGCAAUCCAUGCAAAAGCGGAGAUUUUUGACAAUUCUGAUUGUAGCAUCUGGAGGUCCUCCAAUGAGCCCAAACGCUAUUGCAAGCUUCUCACUGUGAUGUCCAAGCGCCUGCUCUUUCUCUUCAUCUUCAAUGUCAUAGAACACCUCAGUGAUCUCUGUGACAUGACCUUGCUGUUGCAUCCUUCCACCAAUCUCAAUCAGUUUUGCAUGAAUGUCAUCAUAUGAUGGAUGUGACUUGUCACCUGAAAUGAAUUCAUGGAUGGAACCAUCCAUCUCAACCGAGCUGCAACCAGGAAUCUUCUCGAUCCCCUUGCUUCUCAUGGUCCUCCGAACAUCUUCAACGCCAUUCCAUCUCCCUACUGCAGCAUAGAGAUUGGACAGGAGCACAUGGUCUCCACUGCAGGUUGCUGCCAUUUCAGUUAUGACAAUUUCAGCCAUCUUGACAUUCUUGUGGAGCCGGCAUCCACCAAGCAAUGCCCUCCAGAUGACAACAUCUGGCUUCAUUGGCAUCUCUGUAAUGAGCUUGUGUGCCUCUUGUAGAUGACCAGAUCGGGCAAGGAGAUCAACCAUGCACGCAUAGUGCUCAAGGAUUAACCCUAUGCCAUACUUCUUGGAGAUCAUGUUGAAAUGCUCCCUACCUGCAUCCACAGAUCCACCAUGGCUGCAUGCCAAGAGGACUCCUACAAAGGUCACUUCAUCCGGUACCACUCUUCCGUCAAGCUCCAUUUGGCGAAACAUGUCCAACGCCAUUGCUGAGUAGCCAUUCAUGGCCAAGCCAUUGAUCAUGGCAUUCCAGGUACAUGUGUUCCUCGCCCUCAAGCUCGCGAACACCUCCAACGCAAGCUCCACAGCGCCACACUUGGCAUACAUGUCAAUAAGCGCCGUCCCCAGGAACUCGUCCCACCGGAGCCUGUUCUUCUCUAUGAACACAUGGACCCACUUCCCUGUCUCCAACGCACCGGCGCUCGCGCAGGCUGACAGCGCGCUGACAACAGUCCCACGGUUUGGCACGAACCCUUCCUUCAUCAUCCGCCCAAAGAGACAGAGAGCCUCGACGGGCUGCCUGUUCCCGACGUGCCCAGAGAUCAUGGCGUUCCACGAAACCAGGUCCCUCUCCGGCAUCUUGUCGAAGACGCGCCUCGCCGACCCGACAUCCCCGGCGCGGCAGAGGCCGGCGACCAUCGACGUCCACGUGACGGGCGUCGGCGCCGGGACCUGCUCAAAGAGCCGGCACGCCGAUGCGACGUCGCCGGACACCGCGUAGCCGUGGAUCAUGGAGUUGAAGGAGACGGUGUCCUGGCGCGGCAUUUCGGCGAACACCCUGCGCGCGUCGGUGACUCGCCUCGUGGCGCAGUACCCCUGGAUGAAGCCAUUGGUGACGCGCGUGUGGGCGAGGAACCCGAGCUUGAUGUAGACGGCGUGGAGGCUGGGGAGGCGGCGAGAGGAGACGGAGGCGGCGGCUUUGAGGAGGGAGAGGAAGGUGUGCUGGUUCAGGCGGGACAGCUGCAUGCGUACGCGUUUGCUAUUGGCUUGUACAGUACUAGUUCAUGGUGUGUGUGUGAGAGAGGCCUUGAGCUUUUAUGGCUGGCUUGUUUGGAAAAGGAAAUUUAGAAAAUGCAAGAACAUGAAACUAAGUGGAUUAUGUUUCAAGUACUCCUGCUUUAUUGAUGCAAUAUGAUAUGGGGCAAUGAUAGGCGCCGGUUGACCGGCCCAAACCGCGCAGCCGUCCGAUUUCCCUAUUUACAGCUGUUAGAUUUGACGCUUUCCCUCGAGUCAUCGUCUUCCUUGCAUUGCCUGAGAGAGAAAAAGGGGGGACAUCCCCACGUGCGCUCCCCACGCGCAUAGCUCUGCCCGCCGCACGUCACUCGCCAGAGCUCCACCGGUCGCCGCCUCGCUUCGAAGCCCGAAUUCGCCACCGUCGCACGCCUUCUCGUCUUGUCGUCGUUCCAGCACCGCCCUUCCCCGGAUGCAGCUCUGCCCAACACCGGUUCCAGCAACUCGCAGUGAUGAUCAUAGCACGGCGCCGCUGUCUUUGGCUCGCCGCUGUCGCUGACCUGCACCAUCAUGUUCCAGCGAAAAAACAUAUCUCAGCUGAAAAAAGCUCUGGUGUUCAGUUGCAGCAAAACCAAAAACUGGUUCCAGCAGAAAAAAAUGUGGUUCCAGCAAAACGACCUGAGAAACUGCGAAACCAGUAAAAUGGGUUGAAGCAAAAAUUUAUUCCGAUUCCAGCAAAAAAUUAUCCUGAUUCCAGCAAAAAUUUACUUUGGUUCCAACAAAACGAUCUGAGUAACUGGAAACUCCGGUAAUCAUUUGAAGCAAAAAUUUAUCUAGUUCCAGCAAAAAUUAAGUACAGUUCCAGCAAAAAUGAACUCAACAACUAGAAAUCCGAUAAUAGUUUGAAGCAAAAUUUACAUCGGUUCUAGCAAAAAAGAACUUAAGUUCCAGCAAAAAACAGAUCAGCAAAACAACCCAGCUUGCAGCUCCCCAAAAACUCCGGUCACUGCUCCGGCACCAACGGAUGCAGCUCUGCCGUUGAAAAGGUGCGGCUGAUUCCAGCUUCCUAUUCCCGGUUGCUUCUUGCCGCCGGCGGUCGCCGUUGGAUGCAUCCCUCCUAGCCGUUGGAUGCACCUCCAAACUGAACGGUUGCAGCUCCGGCGACGCUUGAUGCAGCUCCGGCGACGGCUAGGAGGGAUGCAUCCAACGGCGACCGCCGGCGGCAAGAAGCAACCGGGAAUAGGAAGCUGGAAUCAGCCGCACCCUUUCAACGGCAGAGCUGCAUCCGUUGGUGCCGGAGCAGUGACCGAAGUUUUUGGGGAGCUGCAAGCUGGGUUGUUUUGCUGAUCUGUUUUUUGCUGGAACUCAAGUUCUUUUUUGCUAGAACCGAUGUAAAUUUUGCUUCAAACUAUUAUCGGAUUUCUAGUUGUUGAGUUCAUUUUUGCUGGAACUGUACUUAAUUUUUGCUGGAACUAGAUAAAUUUUUGCUUCAAAUGAUUACCGAAGUUUCCAGUUACUCAGAUCGUUUUGUUGGAACCAAAGUAAAUUUUUGCUGGAAUCAGGAUAAUUUUUUGCUGGAAUCGGAAUAAAUUUUUGCUUCAACCGAUUUUACUGGUUUCGCAGUUUCUCAGGUCGUUUUGCUGGAACCACAUUUUUUUCUGCUGGAACCAGUUUUUGGUUUUGCUGCAACUGAACACCAGAGCUUUUUUCAGCUGAGAUAUGUUUUUUCGCUGGAACAUGAUGGUGCAGGUCAGCGACAGCGGCGAGCCAGAGACAGCGGCGCCGUGCUAUGAUCAUCACUGCGAGUUGCUGGAACCGGUGUUGGGCAGAGCUGCAUCCGGGGAAGGGCGGUGCUGGAACGACGGCAAGACGAGAAGGCGUGCGACGGUGGCGAAUUCGGGCUUCGAAGCGAGGCGGCGACCGGUGGAGCUCUGGCGAGUGACGUGCGGCGGGCAGGGCUAUGCGCGUGGGGAGCGCACGUGGGGAUGUCCCCCCUUUUUCUCUCUCAGGCAAUGCAGGGAAGACGAUGACUCGAGGGAAAGCGUCAAAUCUAACAGCUGUAAAUAGGGAAAUCGGACGGCUGCGCGGUGACCGGCCCAAAUUUGGGCCGGUCGACCGGCGCCUAUCAUUGCCCCUAAUAAUAACAUAUAUUUUACAAAAGAAUAAGUCUUGAGAUUAGUGUAAUGAAAUUUCUUAAAAUUACUAUCAUGAAGUUUUUGUGUUUUUAGUAAAGAAAAACAACAAGAAAUAUAACGAAAUUCUCUCAAUAUUUUUACAUAAUUUCCCAGGAGUCAGUAUAGUAAUUUUUUUUAUUUCCCUGGAAAGACAUAGAUUGUGGAAUUUGUACCAUGACUUUUCCAAGAAUUAAAAUCAUAUAACUGAAAUCCACCAUUUACUUCUAUUUUCUCAUAAUGAGAUUCUCAGUUUUUAUAGAAGACAGAUAAUUUCACAGAACUUUUUUCCACAUUUCCUAAAUCUUGGAAAUGAUUUAAAUCCAUUAAACAUAUUUUUCAAAAGUUGAAAUGAUUCUUAAAAACUUGGUAAAAACAUAAUUGUUUUAAAAAUUCUUAUUAAUUAUUCACUAGUCAGACAAUCUGAAUAUUAUUAGAUGUGUUGUAAACGUGAGGCUCAACAAAAUCUGCAUGCACGUUGGGCCACUGUCACAUGUCAUUCAAGCCACCCACAAUAACGCAUUUAUUAUCCUCAGAGAUCAUUAAGAGUGUUCAGAAGGAUACAACCAUAUACUUCUCUUAAAGAAAGAUAUUCAUCGUCCUAAACUAAAGAAUACACCCAAACUAAUAUAACGACACGAAUCCCUAUGCUUCUUUAAUGGUGAGAUAUUAUAGAGGUGAGUCGCCGAGUGCUCCUAUGCAUUUUCGUUCUCUUCCUUCUUUGUCUCUCAAAUAAGGCCACCUUUAACACGACUCUUAAAACCAACACUUGUCCGCCGACUGAUCCGCGGAUGUAGAUACAAAAUUCGACCAUCCAACCAUAUACCCUAAAGGUUUGUCCCUGUUUUUUUAAGUCCACAACACUGAAAAUAAUUACAGAAAAUAGCACAAUCCAUCUAUAAAUAACUUGCAAAUAUUUCUAGUACAACAAUACUUCAGUUAGAAUCGUCACAAGACAUAACCAAAUAUUCAAUAAGUUUUUUGAAGUCAUCGAUUUCAAAUUCAACAAAUACUCCAAUUAGAAUCGUCACGAGUUCUCCCACACAUUGUUGCCCUUGAGUUUUAUCCAACAAUACAAAUGUAAAUGGCCCCCCUUUGUCACGCGCUAACAUUGAGCGAGUGAAUCAAUGAAUUGACCAGAACGCUGGGGAAGUGAGGGUUGACCUCAGUUUUAGGUUCAACCCCAAGAGCUAAAUCCGCACCGGCGGGAGAAACCAUAUUUUGAGCAUAAGUGUCGCCAUUAUUAUUUCUUUCCCAAAAAGAUAUACUAUUAGAAACUAUAGCACGGUGUAGUAAUAAUUGCUAAUAAACAAAUUUUGCUCCAGUUGACAUGCUAAUAAACCGGAAAUCAUCCAUCCACACACGAUGUGCAAUCCCGCACGACCAUUGCUGUGAGCAGCUCAGACGACGGCCUUGAGCUUCUUGGCGAUGCCGGCGAAGUACUUCCCCUGGUGCGCCGCCAAGGCGAGCUCGGCGUCGGUGGGCGUCCUACUGCCAUCGGCGCCGGCGAAGGUGCCAGCCCCGUACGGGCUGCCGCCCUUGACCUCGUCCAUGGCGAACAUGCCGGCGCCGUGCGUGUAGCCGACGGGCACGAAGAUCAUGCCGUGGUGCGUCAGCUGCGUCACGGCCGUGAGGGCCGUGGUCUCCUGACCGCCGCCCUGCGUGCCCGUGGCGAAGAAGACGCCAGCGGGCUUGCCGGCGAGGGCCCCCUCCUGCCAGAGGCCGCCGGUGGAGUCAAAGAAGGCCUUCAUCUGCGCCGCCAUCAUGCCGAACCGCGUCGGGAAGCCGAACAGGACGCCGUCGGCCUCGGCCAGCUGCCGCGCCGUUAUGACGGGGUGGUCCUCGCGCCCCGGCGCCGCGUGCAUCUUCCCCAGCACCUCCUCCGGUAGCGUUUCCGGCACCCGCCAGACGGUGACCUCGACGCCGGGCACGGAGUCGGCGCCUUUCUUGAUCUCCUCCGCCAGCGUGGCGACGUGCCCCCAUGUCGAAUAGUACCUGAAUGAUAAACGAAAAAUGGAAUAACAAUCAAAUCAUUGAGCUAACCAGCCGGAAGAAGAGAAGAGCGGAGCAGAGGGCGGAGCAUUACACGAUGUAGAUCUUGGUCGCCAUUGCCGAUCGGUGUAGAAUUCUGCUGUGCACGUAGAACUGAUUUGCUUUGGAAAUUGCUUUGCUUCCUCUUGCGGUAUGGGUGGCUGGUGAAGGAAGAAGGCGGGCAGGCUCCCGUAUUUGUAGGGGAAGCUGGAGCCUUGUAGAUUUUCCGAUUGUUAAUUUGGCGUACUUGCGGUCGCAUUCUUGCAGAUUAUUUAAAAGGGUUCUUGGAAAAAGAUGCUGAUCCGAUCAUCGCCAGGGGCUGCUAUGAGUCUUGUCACCUUGUGUAGUGGGUAUAAAAAAGUGUGGCCGGACUCUGAUGAACGUGGCGUGGGGUAUACUACGUGGUCAUGGCGUCGACACUGACGUGCUACGUAUGUAGAUAUGUAUCGCCAUAGUGGAUGCUUUUCUCGCGGAAGAACGGCGAUGGAGUCAGCGAGGAAGCUUCCUGCAGGUCUGAAAGAAAAAGAAUAGGCAGAUAUAGAAUCGAAAAUACACGUUGGGACAUGGUGCAUGCCAGACAAGGAUUAUAUGCAUUUUCAUAGUAUUAUAACUAACUUCAAACCCCUCAGAUAGUUUUAGGAGUUGUGGGGGUAAUUUUACUUAUUUGCAGUCCUAUAAACCUCCACCUGUGCAAUGCCCGUUAACUCUAUAAAUGAUCCUCCAUCCGUGUAGCAUCUCUCUUUUGCUAAUCGCUAUGGGUGUGGCCAGUUCUCAGUUGACUGAGACUUACGAAGUCUCAAUCAAAUGACAAAAGUUAUAAAAUAAGAAGAAGAAAAUUAAAAGAAAAUUUACACGGAUCUUCACAUAAAAUCUCAAGAAUAUAGCAUUGAUUAAGACUUCGUUAAGUCUCAGUCCACUGACUUAUAGCAAUCCUGAAUCGCUAUUAAGGAGAAAAUUGUUAGGGUCUCGUCCCCCCUGAAUCGUCCCUACAAGGUGAGGUCGUGGGUAUCGAUUCCCUUGCCGCUGAACGAGGAGAACAAACACGGGGAGUCCCGAUCCAGGUCUCGGCAGCUUAAUGCUCGUGCUCGCCGUGAGGGUGUCCCUCCGCCCCAGCAACACCAUCCAAUUCAGGGCCACGAGUUGCAUGCAACCAUGCCCUUUCGUUAUCAUGAUCACAAUCAGCUUAUUCGUGCUCCCGAAGCCUUGGAGUACACAAUUGUACACAAGAGAAACAUAGUGUUAAUAUUUACUAGGUUAACAACAUCACGUGCAGCGAGGAGCAAUAUGUUGGCGCAAGAAAUGGUGUGUUGCAGGAGGCCUCGACUUGGACCUUGAUGUCGCCGAGCAAGAUCGAUGCGUCACGGCCCUAUCAAUGGACACACAUGUCAAUGAUAGAAGCUAGAACGAGAAACAUUGCUGACCGUGUGCACCGCGAUGCAACUUACAAUGAUGGUCUUGAUGAAACAGUUGAUCGAGUUAUACANNNNNNNNNNNNNNNNNNNNNNNNNNNNNNNNNNNNNNNNNNNNNNNNNNNNNNNNNNNNNNNNNNNNNNNNNNNNNNNNNNNNNNNNNNNNNNNNNNNNNNNNNNNNNNNNNNNNNNNNNNNNNNNNNNNNNNNNNNNNNNNNNNNNNNNNNNNNNNNNNNNNNNNNNNNNNNNNNNNNNNNNNNNNNNNNNNNNNNNNNNNNNNNNNNNAGUUUUUAGAGGUUAUGCGUAGAGUCAGAGUUGUCAUAUAUGCAACCUUCAUAAUAUGUCUCCUCUUUAUUUUUAUUAUUAAUUUGUUUUACAUCAACUAAAUAUUCAUACUUAUAAUUGGAGGCAUUCAAACACUAAAACUGGAUUAAAAUUCGAACAACAUUGAAAUACACAAUUCUUAUAUGGGGAGAAAUGUCGAUAAACGACAUUUUCAUAUAUAAUAAGUAGACGGGAGGGGCAAAAUUCCUUGAAGAAGGUGUUGUUGAAGAUAGUUUGACCGACGACGGGUUGGCAUAGCCCCCAGCCCAGGGGCAGACUCUGAUGUGCAGCUGCGCACCGAACAUGGAGUCGACGUCGAUGUUCUUGUAGAAGUGCAUGCGGAAGCUAGAGCAUCUGGCAAACCCGACUGUGUGCACCCCAAGUAAGACGAUAACAAUGACGGAGCCAGGAUUAGAGCUAGGGGUGGAACUACCAGUCCGCGUGUUCGCAUGCAUCACACCUAGAAGCGUCAGCGACGUCCAUGGCCAUCAUGUUGAUUUCUUUAUUAGCACCAUUAUUAAAACAACAUCAAUUAGCUUAUUUCAAGUAACACAAAUGGGUCCAUCUGCAUUCCUAUGUUCACCCGUUCGGUUGAUCGUCCGAGCCAACGAGCAGACAGAAAAGGAGGAGAGCUUACGUGGUCAAUCAUUUUCCUAACAAUAAUACCACAAACUUUUACACGUAUUUUGCAGAUCUUUUCUAACUAAUAAAUCAUCCGUCACAGCCCUAUCAAUGCACGCACAUGUCAAUGAUAGAAGCUAGAACGAGAAACAUUGUGGACCAUGUGCACCGCAACGCAACUUACAAUGAUGAAACAUUGAUCAAGUUACACAACACCGUGAAGUGCUGCGGGGGAGGGGGGCAAUGCCCUCUGCACACUUGCUGACGCUAUGUUAUGCCAGUCACAUUUUUAUAAUUUUUAGAGGUCGUGCAUAAAGUCAGAGUCGUCAUAUAUGCAACCUUCAUAGUAUGUCUCCUCUUCUUUUUUUUGCAUCAACUAAAUGUUCAUACUUAUAAUUGGAGGCAUUCAAACACGAAAACUGGAUUAAAAUUCGAACAACAUUGAAAUACAUAGUUCUUAUAUGGGGAGAAAUGUCGAUAAAUGACAUCUUCAUAUAUAAUAAGUAGAGGGGAGGGGCGAAUUUCCUUGAAGAAGGUGUUGUUGAAGAUGGCUUGAACGACGUUGGGUUGCCGUAGCCCCCAGCCCAGGGGCCGACGUUGGUGUGCAGCUGCGCGCCGAACAUGGAGUUUAUGUCGGUGUUUCUUGCAGAAGUGCAUGCCAAAGCUAGAACAUCUAGCGAACCCGACUGUGUGCACCCCAAGUAAGACGAUAACAGGGAUGGAGCCAGGAAUUAGAGCUAGGGGUGGAACUACCAAGUCCGCGUGUUCGCGUGCAUCACACCUAGACUAGUCAGUGAUGUCCAUGACCAUCAUGUUGAUGAUUAUUAAAAAAACAUCAAUUAGCUUAUUUCAAGUAACAUAAAUGGGCCCGUCUGCAUUCCUAUGUUCAUCCGUUCGGUUGAUCGUCCGAGCCAACGAGCAGAUAAAGGAGAAGGAGAGCUUACGUGGUGAAUCACCCUAACAAUAAUACUACAUCCACAAACUUUUACACACAUUUUGCUGAUCUUUUCUAACUAAUAAAUCAUCUGUCGCAACCCUAUCAAUGCACACACAUGUCAAUGAUAGAAGCUAGAACGAGAAACAUUGCGGACCGUGUGUACCGCGACGCAACUUACAAUGAUGGAACUGUUGAUCGAGUUAUACAACACCGUGAAGUGCCAAGGGGGGGGGGGAGGGGGGGCAAGGCCCCCUGCACACUUGCUGACGCUAUGUUAUGCUAUAACAUUUUUAUAAUUUUUAGAGGCCGUGCGUAACCUUCAUAACAUGUCUCCUCUUUAUCAUUUUUUUGCGUCAACUAGAUAUUCAUACUAAUAAUUGGAAGCAUUCAAGGAAAAAGCUUCCAAUCAACCGGCCGAUCUUUCUCGCUGCAUCAGUCGCUCGCGCGGCCGUCAGAUCGCAGCCCAUUGGUACACUAGAUUGUGAGGGCGCGUGACUCGCAUGAAGACUUGGUGCAUGUGCCUGGUCCCUACUACCUGGGCCAACCCUAUUCAUUGCAAAUAAAUUCCGCAACAUCGGUAAUGUUGCAAAACUUGCUCCCGCAACAUCACCUACGUUGCAUGAAUGUGAAGGCAAAAAAAAUUCUGCAACAUUACGUUUGUUGCAUAAAAGUGGAGACAUUUUUUUUCUGCGACAUCACCACGGUUGCAAAAAUUUCUGCAGCAGUACCAUUCUUACAAAAGUUGCAUCACGUCUCCGCACAAAGUCUUUGUUUCAGCAACAACCAACUUGUUGCAAUUCAUGAAGUCACACGAUAACUCUUCAGAGUGGUUUGCAACAAAGUCGUUGUUGCAGACGGAUGAGCGUAACAACUAGCUUGUUGCAAUUUGUGACGCUCACGUGGGGAGAUCUAACGGCGUGGGAGGUGGUCGAACCUAGCACGACCCUUGUUUCUGCAACACCCCACUUGUUGCAGAAGGGAGGUGGGGAACGUGGGUGGUACAUUGGACGGACAGUAGCAUGUCCAUCCAAUGGCCAGCUAGGCGGCGGAUGUUUUUAACUAAUCCACCGACCGACACGUCGCGCAGCCCGGCAUUCAAACACUAAAAUUGGAUUAAAAUUCGAACAACAUUGAAAUACAUAGUUUUUAUAUGGGGAGGCGUGCUCGGGCCUCCCCAUAUCCGUCCAUAUUGGUGCCGGUCAGCCCGGGUUUUUGAGACCGGUUUGAGAUAUAUCUCUGAGUCGUUUUUUACCGGUCACUGACCAGGUCAUCCGUCCGAACACGUAUGAGGGUGGUUUAAGGCGUCGAUUGUAGAUGUUCUAAGGGCAUCUUCAACAAAGUGCGUCGAAAUGGACACACGAACACGUUUGGACGUGUCAUCAAACAACGAAUGGGCCCGGGCAUCUAACCUUUUGCACGAAAUGUCCGUGCACGUUUCAAAACUAAAUCAAAAUUACGCUAGGUAUAUAAUACCUUGUAGGCAUGCACUCUAGGCCCGUCCCCGUUGUCAUCGUCGUUUUUUUUGAAACGAGGCAAAAGACUUGCCAUUUUCAUUGAUUAAGAAGAAGUGAGAAUUUCCCGGUUAAUUGACGGAAAAUCGGGCUAAAACCGAAACAACCCAACCUAUAAACACAUGGGCACCACCGGCCAACCUGGCCACCGACAUGGAACACACUCCAUGACGGUACAUGCCAACAGAUGGCCACACGCACGAACAACCGACAGCUCCGACUUUGCCGACGAUCAUUGCCCGGGAAAUAUGCAGGACUUGCACCGACCGUGCCCGCCGCAAACGACCACCGAGCGCCUGUCAUCAUCACCACCUGGAUCCGCUCCACCGCAGUUCCGACUUCAAAGCAGCCAGGCAACCCACGAAAGAGCACCUCGGACACGCCGGGAAGAUCCGACUACCAAAGCCCGAGCCGCGACCCAAGCUCCUCUCGACGCCAUCAUCGUUGCCAAACAGAAAUCAGCGCCCCCAAACGGCCGCCUCAGCAACCACGCGGCGAAGAUGCCGCCAUCCACCGCGGCGAAGAUGCCGCCUUCCACCGGUCUCCAGUUGUAGCCGACUCCGAGACGAUGCCCCCAAGGAGGAAGAAGACGAGGAGACGCCUUCAUCGCCCGAUCCUGCGGAUAUGAGGAUUCCCUCCGGAGCCAAGGCCGCGGGGAGAAGCACCACACCAAAACGACGCUUCCAAGAAAGAGUGCGGCGCCCGCGGGCGUCGCCGUUGCCGGAUCCGGCAGAGGCCGGAGAAGGAUUUCUCCCGUAGAUGCACAACCACCGCGAGCCCGAACCAGCCGGCCACCAACCACCACCAAACCUGCACCGCAGAGCCACCGAAGGGAAUCUCCCGCCAGCGCCCGCGCCCGUCCCAGCUGAGGCCGUCCCGCGCGACCCCCCGGCCAGCAGCAGUCGUGCUGCCGGGUACUGGGCGCACACCGCCGUCUCCACCGACCAGCCGACCCCGCCAGAGGAAGGAGGAGCCACGCCCGAAACUCGCCGAGCCGCACCACCUCUCGCAGCAGCAGAGACGCCAAACCACAGCAGCUCCGCCGCCGCCCACGCAGCCGACGAGAGCCACCGCCCGCCCGCGGCCGCGCCGCCCAGAGAGCGAAGAGGUCCGGGGCCACCACCCCGGCGUCCGAGCACCCGUGCCGCUGACCUCCGCAGCAGAAACCGGGGAAUCCAAAUCUGGCCGCGACCGGCUCGAUCCAGCCGCCCCACGCAGCGCCCCGCAACAGCCCCCUCCGCACCCGCAAGCCGAGCAUCACCCCCGCCGCCAGAGCAUCACCGGAGAUAGGCGAGGCAGCCGCGCAGUCCACCGCCAGGCACCACGGCGCCGAGCGCCACCCGCCGCCGCUCCCCCAGGACUGGAUGCCGAGCGACGGGAUGAGGCCCCGCCGCCGCCACCCCCGCACGGGCUUUGCCCAGCGGUGGCCACCGGCGGCGGCGAGGGAGGAUGAGCAGGUGGGGGAGUGGGAGGCGGCGGGGAUCUGGUCGCCGCCCGAGUCGCCAAGCUAGGCGAUGCGGGGGCCUUUUUCGAAGCUAUGAUCCAUAAUACUUGUCGUCAAAUGAAUGUAUCUAAAAUUGUCAUCGUCGUUGACGCCUCUAUUGUUGUCGUCGCCCUUCCAACAACGGACGACCACCCAGGGGGGCGUGACAACCAUGAUCAGUAGCCGUCGUGCGGUCAUGGCGUAGCCAACCGACCUCACGCAGACGAUCGGCCACGUCCGGCUCGCGGUGAUGGUCGGGCGCAGACUCCAGUCCACGCCGCCCGCCCUUGGCCUUGGCCUUGUCGUUGCCAGUAAGGGAAAGGGUGUGCUCAGACUUGGCCAACCCCAUAUUGUAGAGUUGGUCGCUAAUCCAGUUCGGGGCCACGCCCGACUUGGCAAAUGCCGAACAACGUGCCGCAUUGGGCCCUGGCCGGCGCUCCUCCCUCCUUUGUUGUUGCCUUUCCGUCUGCCGUCCUGGCAUGCGACGACGAGGCGCCGCCGUCGCGACCGAGGUGGUGAAGGACGCGGCCGCACGCGUUGGUGAUCGUCGACAGGGUUACCCUUCUUGAUGGCGGCGGGACGAGAGGGCACCUGCGUCUUGAUGCAACGUUGCGGCGAGGACAUUGGCUUCUCCUUGACGCGAUGGCAUGACAUUGAGGGCGACGCCAGACAACGAUCGAACAUCGAUCGCACGAGGAGCAGUUGAGCUAUCGCGCGUACUCCUCUUUGGUUCGUGUGGCCUCGGUGAGGAGGAGCGGUUGUUGCUGCCUCAUCGUCCGAGGAGAGCACCACCUCCUCGGUCUUGACCGUUGAUGCCAUGGAGCCCAACGGGCUCGGGAACCGUGGGCGACGAUGCAUGAUCCGAAGCUCCUCGUAGAUCCUCCUGCCGGCAGGGACUUGGCCAUGGCGGAGACGAGCAGUAAGGAGAGGACCGAAAAGGAGAGGAGAGGCGAGGUAGUAGAGGUGAUGGGCUAUAGUUUGCCGAUGCGAUCGACCUGCUUAAAUAACUCGGGCAGUCGGGCCGGUGUUGCUUCGUGCGAGCGCAACUACCGGAGUAGGCUUCCUAGUCGUCGUGUUCGUCUUGAAGUGGCUCUGAUCAGCCACGGGUAGGUGGACGACCAGUUGUGUUUGCUCUGAGAGGCAAUGAAUGCGUGAUGAGGCCUUUGAAGGGAAGCGUGCGACGAGGGUUUUCAGAUGGGCAGGGCGAUGAUGUUUUCCGGUUCGGAAUGCUUGGUCUAGCGCGUGGUGGGCAUCCGCAAACUUGCCCAACUUUGCUUCCGAUUUGCAAAAAUACAAACAUACAGGCCUUUCACUGGUGUUUGAUGUUCGGGGGUGGAGAGCACAAAGUAUCCAGACCGCACGGCCCAGACAUUUACAGACGAUUUGAUAAAUAGCAUUGGAGAUGCCCUUACGAGAGAAUAUAAGUGCCCAUUUACGGACGAUUUGAUAAAUAGCCUUGGAGAUGCCCUUACAAGAGAAUAUCAAGUGCCACAGGAGAACCUAAGCUGCAAGCUCAGCCAUGGAUCUAAGAUCCAAUGUCAGAAAACACACAAGUGAAUAGUGUCAAUUUUUGUGACACUAUUAUGCUGAAUUUGUCUUUUUUUUGUGUAUUUCAGGAAAAAAAAUCUAAUGUUAGAAGAGAGCUACCAAAUCCAUUACUUAGAAAAAACACCCCAAACAAGGAAUGCAUCACAUAAAGAAAAAAAUAAAAGGAGCAACUCGGUUUAUUGAGGAAAACCAGACCAAAACCUAUACAACGCCUAGCAAGACUAAGCCUAAAGCACCACAAAUCCAUGACACAUACAAAGCAUGGAAAGGCCAACACCCGGAUUUUUUGUCGAAAGAGACCCUCUGCCCACUGGAAUUGCCAAAAAAGACCCCCUGCGGACGAAAUUGACAAAAGAGACCCCCUCACUAGUGGCGGCAGGCGCGGCAGGCGACACGUGUCACCUGCCGCCACGCCGUGAGGCGGCGGGCCCGGCCGCCACAACAGGAGGCGGCAGCCCGGUGUAUAACGGUGCGUGCACAGGGCAGCACAGGCCAGCGUGCCGCGACGGAACGGGCCGCGCCAGGCGGGCCUGGCCGCCACCGGGUGGGGCGGCCACUGCUGCCGCUGUCGCUACCCGGCCGACAAGGCCUGCUGCGCGCGGGCCCAGCAGGUGGGCCACGCCGCCACCAGCCGAGGCGGCCUGUCCUGUGCUGCUGCACGCGCGACAGUGCGCAAACGGCGCUGAUUUCGAGGCGCAACAGUGACGGUUGUGACUCCGACGCGCGGGAAUAUGGACGCUUUUGGUUCUUUUGCGUUAGCGGAUGCGACGGCACUGCGAGAAUCACGCUGAUUAUUGCUUCAGCGAAUGCGACGACACUGCGGGAAUCACUCACUCGCUGCGGGAAUCCGAGGCUGCGGGAACCUGUUGUGCCGACACUACAGGGAUCCUCUUCCUUUAUAUAGUAUGCUUCUGCUGCGUGCGCAAGCACACUCGCAUCCUCUUCUAACUUCUGAGUGUGUAAGAACAGAGAGAAAGAAAAACUCAGUAGGCACUUUCACUCGUGAUUUAGGGCGAUUUGGAGUUGGAUUUUGAAUAUGUUGAAGUUGAAGAAAAGAUAGACCAAGGUAAGAUCUAUCCAUUUUUGUUGGUUUCGUUUGCAUGCAUGAUGUUUUUACUCUUUUUGUUUAGUUCAUAACUAUGUGUUAUCUAUUUUGUUAGGCAUUAUUUCAUCACUUUUUGGAGUCAUUUAGAGCUUCAGGAGUACGAUUUGCCUAGCGAAGUGAACUACGAAGUUGAAGAUCAAGGUAUGAGCUUUGCAAUAAAUUGAUUUUUUUAUGCAUGCAAGGUCGUAAUUAGUUAGUCUUUUAGCUCAUCAUUAGCUAUGCAAUGUUAGUGAUUAGAGGUUAGAAAUAAUUUCAGACGACAGAUGUAGCAUUUAUAAUAUAUUUUUUAGAAAAGUAGGUUGAAGAUGUUUGUAUCAAUGUUAGGUGCGUCCAUUAGUAUUGACAUGCAAGAAAUCUUAAUACGAUAAUUAAGAAACACUUGUACUGUAAUUGUUCAUUGCAUGUGGUAUGUUAUUUCAUGUGGUAUGUUUAUUAAUAAGUCUUAGUUAGGAGGUUGUAGGUCUACUUUGUUACGUCGAAAUAAUCUAAAUUUUAUAUGUUACGAAUAUGUGCUAAUGUACUUGAUGAUGUAUGUAAUUAGGUAAAAUAAUUAAUCUUAGUAGCAAACAAGGAGGAGAUGACGUGAUUGAAGAAAUUGUGUUUCCAUCUUCGUUGUCCCUUUUGAGGUGAUGACCAGAUACAUGCAAGUGCUAUUUUCAUACUUUUGAUAGCAGAAAGAAAAAUCCGUGUGUAAUAUUGAUGUUCAUAUGAUAAUAGGUUGACUCUGUUUAUAUAGUACUGGUGACGGAUAUUUAUUCGAACUAUUUGGACUCUUAAUUGCAUUCGCAAGCACAUCCAUAUUGGAGCCAAGGUAUAAAAUGACCCCGUAAUUUUGUUAAUAUUUUUUAUAUUGAUGUACUGUCAUGCCGCUGCAAAUAUUAUUAUUUGUAAAUAAAUGAAUUUUAUCGUAUGAUAUGAAAAACAUUAUAUCAUGCCGAAAGAAAUUAGAUAUUUUACUCAUAUGAUAUUAAAAUGUUAUUAUCGUAAUAUUAUGUUUAGUGGUUGUUUGGAUAGCGAGUACUUACCCUCAGUUUUGUCAUAACCUGUUGUAAGAAAAUUAUGUAGAAAACCAUAUUUUACUAAUUGUCGUUUUUCCAGAAGCUAAGUUUUUACAUGUUGCGAGAACUAUUUUAGGAUAUUUUGGGGGUAGUUAGAGAAAAGAAAACAGAGUUUUAGUUUGUUACGCUCGUAGACAAGUUUGAGAAAAAUAGAUCUUUAAAUACCCGUUAACCAAACAACCCCUUAAAGUCUAAGCAAAUGAUUCUAAAAACAAACCAAAUAUUUAUAACGAAAAUACGGUUAUUAUUUUAGUCGUAAGAUAUGUAAAUGUUGUCAUCGUUACUAAAUGUUCAGUUACUAAUUAUUUGAAAUGUAAACAUGUAUGUUGGUUAGGUACUAUGGAAAAUUUAGUAGUGUACUAUGGAAACGUCUUACGCGACGGUCCAUGCGGGGUGGAUGUGUCCUUCUGCGAGUCGACUACAGUUGUAUUGAGAGACAUGGUCAACGUGGGUUACGCAGCUGUUAGAAGGUGCAUCCGAGCGGUGUUUGGCCCAGUGAUGCAGGAAAAAAAUGACAAUGGAGGCCUUCGUCGUUGACGGAGGAAAUGAUGGGACAGUUGCCCGUUGGGGUUUGCGGCCUGUCACAGGUGAUCAGUCGUGGGGGUCGUACAUGAGGUUUGCAAGCAAUCCCAAUAACUCAAUGUAUGGUCAGCCGAUGGUGUAUGUGGAGUUCAUUUCAGUCACUGAUGUUGCCGGAUGCAGUAGUAGGGGUGGUGAGGUCGAGUUGGCCAUCACAUCAGCCCCUAGCAUCGGCCCAUCGGAACCGACGGGCGGCCAGCCUGUGUAUGACACAGGAUAUUGGUCGGCGGCCGUUGACAUGAGCGAACACGUGGAGGGAUUGCCGGAGGCGCUAGAUGAUGAUGAUCAUUCUUCUGCGUCUUCGGAGUCAAGCGGAGAAGAAGAUGUUCCUCCUCAGAGGGCGGUCGCGGCGGCACUGCAACCUGGGUUUUUACAGGAUAUGAGCAUCACCAACGAAUUUCACUCUGCUUCUGGCCUAGGAGCGGGAAGCCUGGAGGUUGGGCAAGUUUUCCCAGAUAAGAAGUCUGCUUACCAGGCAAUGGGUAGCUAUGCAAUCGGCAUCUACCGCCAGCAUAGAGUGAAGCAGUCUGAUAAAAAAGAGUUGAAGGUCAUAUGCAUCCACACCGCGAAAGGUUGCCGCGGAAGAGUUCUCGCUAGACUGAAGUCUGGGGUAUGUCAGUCAUGGCAUAUCACAAAAAUAGUGGAGCAUACCUGUGAGCAAACUGGGACUCUUUCAGGUCACUGCAAUGUGACAGCAAAAUUUGUGGCACAGACGAUGGAAACAAUCGUGUAGGAAAGUCUCAACAUUAGUGUUAGGGCUCUGCAAAAAGAUGCAGAGGAUCUAAUUGGAUUCCCUGUUAGCUACAGCAAGGCUAGGCGUGCGAAGGAAAAUAUAUUCAAGAACUUAUAUGGUACCUAUGAGGAGGCAUAUUCUUAUGCCCCUAGAAUGCUUCAUCAAAUAGCAAGUGCUAAUAGGGGGACUCAAGUUUGGCGGAGAGAACGUCCAAACCCAAUGAACCCGGGUGAGCUAAUCCUGGACCGCUUAUUCUGGGCAUUCGCCCAGACUAUACAAGCCUUCAGGCACUGUCGCCCGGUAUUAUCUGUUGAUGGUACCUUUCUCACUGGAAAGUACAAGGGCACACUAUUGGUGGCGAUUGCAGCGGAUGCAAAUAAUCAGCUUCUUCCUAUUGCAUAUGCAUUGGUCGAGAGCGAGAACAAAGAUAGCUGGUUGUGGUUCCUGAGCUGCGUGAAGAUUGGUGUCGUGAAAGAGUGUAAAGGUGUUUGCAUCAUUUCUAAUCGCAACACUGGAUUAUUAAGCGCUCUUGAAAUAAUUAAGGCGUCGGAAGAAGAGUGGGGCUGGCCCGAUCUAGAGGGAAGGUGGUGCAUGAGGCAUUUGGCAGCAAACUUUUACUCCAAAUUCAAAAACAAGGAUUGGUUCAAGUUAUUCAAGAGGAUGUGCAUGCAAAAAACUGAAGCCAAAAUGAAUGCGAUAUGGGCAGGUAUCAAUGGUGAGAUCGAUCGCGUGGCCUUGCCGCAGAGAGAAGACCAGAGGGGUCGUAGGACGGCCAUAAAUUUGAGCCGGUGGAUCACCGAGAAUUGCCCUCAUUUGGAGAAGUGGGCGCAGGCUCACGACACCGGGGCUCGGUAUGGAAUAAUGACCAGCAACAUGUCAGAGGUGUACAAUGGUGUUCUUAAAGGGGUGCGAGCACUGCCUAUCACAACCCUAAUUGAAGAAACUUGGAACCGGACCCUGUCAUACUUUGCAGACAGGGUCACCUUCGCCAAAGCACAAGUUGAAUUGAACAAGCCAUGGUCCGAGAAGAUGCAAAGAUAUAUGGACGAGAAAGCAAAGAAGUCCCAAAGUCAUGGCUGCCGGAAAGUGGACGCACUUAGGAAUAAGUGGGAGGUCAAUGUGCGAGCCAAGUACGUUAAGGGUCACCACAGAGGAUCAAAAAAGCAAGCUGUCACCCUUGGCUCAACCUCCUGUGAGUGCACUUGUAACAAGCCCAAGCUUGAGAACUACCCUUGCAGUCAUGUGCUCCGGGCGGCUGCUGUUCAAAAAAUCAGCGUCGAGCCAUACAUAUCGCCGUACUUCAACAUGUACAAUCUAUACAACACUUGGAACGGUGAGUUCUGGGCUUGGGGCAUUGAUAUGAACUACAAAAUGUUGUGGCCAGAUGGGCCGAAAUGGGUUCCGAACGCCGACUUGAUGAGAACCGCAAAGGGACGACGUCAGUCUAGGCGUCAUCGCAAUGACAUGGACCAUAGCCAGAUGGGAGAACCAAGGCGAUGCCGCGUUUGCAGGUGUCCUGGACAUUCACGCAAAGAUUGCCCGUAUCGAGCCAACAACAACGCAUGAUGUUGAUAUAUAUGUAUUCGCCAUGUCUAUUUAUAUUUCUACUCGUUAUGUGUACUUAUAUUAAAUUUAAAUUGAUUCUCUUUGUAUUAUUGUACUCAUGAUGUUAACUUCAGAUAAUUAAUGUAAAUCGUAUCUCUUUGUAUUUUUUAAGUUAAUUUUGAUUUGCAUUUGUAUUUCUGUCUUCCUCGUAAUUUAUAUUUGUAUGUUUGUGUGCAUGUUAUGGGUGAAGUGCCAGUGCUUUUGCAGGGGCCCCAUGACGCCGGCCACCGUUGCCACCUAUUUUUGAAACCAAAUACUAAGCAUGAUUAUCGGCCUUUCAGACUUCGAACCAUAAAGAAAACAUGGCCAAUACACAAUCAUUUCCUUGCUCACCUUGACGCUUAUGGACUACAAGGUUUUGCUAGGCUCACAUCAUGCGACGACCAAGUACGUUCGGACCCAUCCCUUUUGACAUCCCUCGUUGACCGGUGGAGACCUGAAACCCACACCUUUCACUUUCGUUUUGGGGAGCUUGCACCUCACUGAAAGAUGUUUCUAUGAUCACUGCUCUACCAAUUAGAGGUGAGCCGGUAGUCUCUCCACGAGUGUCUCCAUCUUGGGCAUUAAAUAUAGCAGCCCGUCUUGGGAUGGAAAUGCCAGAAUCACAACGUUCUGGUAACCCUCGGGGCAUCCCACUCGUCUGGCUUCGUGAUAACUUUCUUAAUUUAUCUAGCUUCGCCAAUGAGGAGACGUGAAAAAGACAUCUGUUUGCGUAUUUGUUGUGGCUCCUCGGGAAUCUAUUUCCAAAUUCACAUGGGGACGUUGUUGUCCCUGGUCUCAUCUACAUUGCAGAGAAUAUGGUAGAUGAACCUUUAUCCGAGCAGCCAAAAUACAGCUUCGGUUCUUCCAUGCUAUCUCAUACAUACAGAGGCUUGUGUGAUGCCACGCAAAAAACCUCUUUCGCACAAAAAGCUCCAUUACUUUGUGUCGCCUAUGAGUUUCUACAGUUGUGGUCCUGGGAAUAUCUCCCUGUAGGACGACCUCGUAUAGUACAACCCGUAUACCCAUACGACUUUAGCGAGGGUGCUAGCGCAACUAUGGCCACCAGGUGGACAAAGGCACGGAAAUGUUGGUCUCCAGAUAUUGCGAAAAAUUGUUACCCUAUGUACCACCAGCAGUUUGAGAUACUUGAUGAGGCAGGCGCGGAGACAUGUUGAGCUGCAUGCAGCUUACUAUCGUGACCACCUGGUAAUCACUUGUAACUUUUUUAGGUCCAUCAUUUCAUAAUCAUUUGAACUAAAUAACAUCCAAAUAUUGUUCAGCUUGAAAAUGUCAACGAAGUAGGGCAGAUGGCUACGGAUAGCAUGCCGGCCCAGGGCCCAUAUCGCAAGACAUUCUAGAAACUUUUGCAACAAUUCGUGGCAAAGAAGUUCAGAUGCGGUAGAGGCGACCACGUUGUCACUGGAGCAUACAUGCCGGUAGCGAGGUCAGCCAGACCGAGUGCGGCACCGUCAUCCAGACCGAGCGAGGCGCGUACGAGCCAUGAGCAAUGGGGGAGGGUCCGAGUACUAGAACGACAUUGCCACGACAUGACUCAUCUCUGCCACUGCAUCGCUCUUCUUCGAUGCAGCUUCGUCAGGGGCAGACAUCUCAGGACCAUGGCACGGGCUUGGAUUCGAUGCCCGAGCAGUUUCUUUCCCCUAACCCAUAUGCGUACACAGGAUAUGAUGCAUACACCCAAGGUGAGGGAUCUCAGCCGUAUCUCUCCACGCGAGGGAUCCCCAUGCCCGAGGAGACUCAUGUACCAGAUUUAAACCAGCACCACAUACAAUGGCCAGAUAGUAUAGGAGAGGGAUAUGCUCAGGUAGUCAUGUUUACAUUUCGAUGCAUUUACAAUGAUAUCAUAUAUUAUCCUCUAACAGUUUGUUUAAAAUCUUUCUAUGUGUAGGACACACCUGAUGUUAAUUGGGGCGAUGAGAACACCCAACGCGGCGUCAACACAGGCCUCCGGGGAGCAUCACAUGAUCAUGGCGUCAACACAGGCCUCCGGGGAGCAUCACAUGAUCAUGGCGUCAACACAGGCCUCCGGGGAGCAUCACAUGAUCUUGGCGACAUGGUUACAUCAUUAGUUACAGAGUUCUUCGGAGGGGACGUUAUUGGCCCAUCUUUUAUCCCCCCGGAGUCACAACCAUACGCCUACAAUUACGCUUCAGGUUCGCAACAAGGAUUCACGACUCCACCACCUACGCAGGACUCGCAGACACAUGAAGCCGAAUUGGAGUACGGCCGCGGUCUUCGUGUGACCCGGCAACCUAAUCGCUUGUCGUCUUCCGGUCGUAAGGAAAGGCCAGGUGGUCGUCGUAAAGUAGGGUGAUUCAUCUAUGCACGUGCGCGACCCAUUGUAUCUACAUAUGUCUGUAUCAGACUUUUCAAUUUGAACAUCUAUGUAUGCUGAAAUAAAAAUGCACCAGUCAGGAACAAUUUUUCCCGCCUAUAUCUCCCGCCAUACUAUCCCGCUCCACUCUUUUGCUUAUGUUAGGCCGACAUGAAUUUUUUUAAAAAUUUUGGCUGAUGAAUACUGUGCAACCAUUGCCCUUCUUAGACAUUGAAAAAAAAAAUAUUUUUAGGCAAUGCUUUCCCCUCAAUAUUUUCCCGCAAACGCUUUCCCUCCAUAUGUUUCGCCACCCAUUUCCCGCCAACGCUUUCCCGCCAUAUGUCCCCGCCACUCGUUUCCCGCCAUAUGUUCCCGCCAACCCUUUCCCGCCAUACUGCACACGUUCUUUCCCGCCAUUUUCUCCUCUCUACCUAUAAAACCCCCUUCAGACGGAGGUGGAUAAGCAUUCGAGUGUAGUGUAGUCGAGAUGUCCCAUUAUCCUUUCGAUCGUAGUUUUCACCCUAAGAUGAGCAGGACUCUUCUGAGGCUAGCUACCGAUUUCAGGAUGGACAAUAGGAUAGUUCCAUGGGAUGAACUCACCGGUAGUGACACCAUAAUGAAUGAGUUGGCUCACCAAUUACAUAGGUCUGGGUGGCCUGAAAGGACCUAUGAGGAGGUACGUAAAGAACUUCUUAGGUUGCGUGCAAGGUGGAAGAAUGUAGUGGAGCCGAAGAGUGAAACUUUCAGAAAGACUGCAGAAAAUCAUCCAUUUUAUGGACUGAGGAGAGCAAGGAUGAAGAUGAUAUCUUCAUGCCGCCGCUUCCGGGUGCUGCAUCGUCAAAGGGCAAGAGUUCUGCAUCGUCUAAGGGCAAGAGUACUGCAUCCUCGAAGAGCAAGAGUUCUGCAUCGUCCAAGGGUAAGAGUUCUACAUCCUCGAAGGGCAAGAGUUCUGCAUCGAUGGAGGAUGACGAUGAUGCCUUCAUGUAGUUUUUAAGCUGUAUUCCAGUUCUACCGUUUAAUUCGGAUGUACUUGCAUUAUUACUUUGUACUCUCUUAUUGUAGGGCAUUAUGUUCUAUCUUAAUUUUAUUUUGUAGUUGUUGCAUGAUGUUUGAUAUUAGUGGAGGGAAAGAAAAUGCCACUACUUUAUUCUAAAACUAUAUUUAUUUCCAUUACGACACGUCACAACUGAAAAUAAGAUACAUUGUAGAAAUAAACCUACAUUUAACUCCUGAAAUAAAGCUACAUUAAAGUGCAGAAAUAAAGAUAGAAAUGAUUGCGAAAUUUAAAAUACUACCACAGGAAUCUACUGAGUCCAGCGUGGAUAUUUUCCUUUUCCAUCGCCAGCUUCUUCUGCUGCCUUGGCCUCACGAGCCCUUUCUUUCUUUCUCUGCCUCUCCGCCUCACGAGCCUCCUUUCGCUGUCGUUCCUGCUCCUCCAUGCGACGAGCCUCUUCCCUGUUUUUCUUUCCCAUUUCCUGAAAAAACGGUGUUGCUCCGCAUAGUAUUCUUUUAACUCUCUCUCUUGCUCUGUUUUCUCCUCAGCUUCCGCCUUCUCGCGUCGCUCUUCCGCAAAUAAACUAUUCCACGCACGGCGACUUCUUACACGAAUCUCAGUCACUGCCCAAGCCGGCUUCUCCGUGUCAAUCCAACGAUAGUACAUGCACAGAGGCGGAGGAGACUACAACAAGAAACAAAAAUGUUAUUAAAGAAUCAAUGAAAAUACCAACAAUAUCUAUUCGUGAUGGUUAAAGCAUACCGGAGACUUGUCGUACUCUGAAAUAGCUACGGCAGGAUCUUCCUCAUAAUUGGCGCACAUGAAAAACUUCAUGCCCAACCAAUCUGAAAAAUCCGUCACCUCCUUCACCUUGCAAAGAUCAUCACACCAACACCGCAGGACUGCCACCCCCAGAGGCAAACUUGCAUUCUUCAUUUUCCUCGGCCAAUGCUUUGAUUCGAGCAAGGCAAACUCAUACCGACUGAAAAAAUGUGUUACACACUUUGCGCACUGCCGAUUUCGAGGAUGGCUGGACGAGAGCCUCGGUGUCUCCUUUUAUAAGCUCAGACGAUAAAUGAUGGCGAGAAAAUUAAGCGGGGAUAUUUACGAUCCCUGUAGUGUCGGCACAACAGCUUCCCGUAGCCUCGGAUUCCCAGUGCCAUCGCAUUCGCUGAGACAAAAGAAGCAAAGGCAGGAUUGAUUCCCGGGCGAAAGAACCAAAAGCGUCCAUAUUCCCGCGCGUCGGAGUCACAACCGUCACUGUUGCGCCUCGAAAUCAGCGCCGUCUGCGCACUGUCGCGCGUGCAGCAGCACAGGACAGGCCGCCUCGACUGGUGGCGGCAUGGCCCACCUGCUGGGCCCGCGCGCAGCAGGCCUUGUCGGCCGGGUAGCGACAGCGGCAGCGGCGGCCGCCUCACCCGGUGGCGGCCGGCCCCACCUGGCGCGGCCCGUUCCGUCGCGACACGCUGGCCUGUGCUGCCCUGUGCACACACUGUUAUACACCGGGCUGCCGCCUCCUGUUGUGGCGGCCGGGCCCGCCGCCUCACGGCGUGGCGGUAGGUGACACAUGUCGCCUGCCGUGCCUGCCGCCACUUGUGAGGGGGUCUCUUUUGUCAAUUUCGUCCGCAAGGGGUCUCUUUUGUCAAUUCCAGUGGGCAGAGGGUCUCUUUCGACAAAAAUCCAACACCCGAGCAAGCACUCGAGCACCUACGCUGCUGCCACACCGAACCGUUGCAUUAUCUUUGCUGCCACAAGCAUAUCCACAAACAUCGAUGACACUAGAGAGGAAUGAUAUAUCCGAUAGAUUGAACAUAUGCCGCUUCGAUCCCAAAGGUUGGCUAACGCAUGUGGAAGGUGCUCCUCCUGUCCUCUCAAAGAUAUCAUGCUAGCCACCAUCAACCAUCUUCACGAGCCUUGAGUCCCUCUGACUAAAUCCCACUGAAGAGAAAGCCCCCAGGAGGGAGCACAACGCCAAGCAGAGCCAAUAGCGUCAUCAUCGUCUGAUCCGAAAGACCAAAUCUGGGGUUUUCCAAAACAUGAUGAGAAACCUUCAACAAGGAAACGGUGCCGAAAGGCGCCACCAUUGACGACUUCUGCCACAACUAGAGUACAACCAGAGUACAGCUUUGACCGGCAACCACACUUGCCCAAAUCCAAGACCCGGUCAGCCCAUCCAGCCUAUAACCUCCCCAGCGUGCAAGCACGGCACCACACCUCACCCCUGCGCAGCGAAAAACCACGGCAAGGGCCAUCCACGCCUCCGAUAAGCCGAAGUCUCCACACGCAUAGCGAAGUACAAGGAGAAGUUGAUUGGAUACGCUGCGUUAAAUCACAGGAGGGGGAAAGGACAAGCACCAAAAUGAAACGUUCUACAAGAAAAUAAAGUCAAGUUCAACAGGAAUUGGAGUUUGGUGGUGAAAACCUGAAAAUAUUCUGACUAAAGUUAUAUACCGUAACGCUAAGACAAAAAAAAUGGCAAAACAAUAUGGCCCCAGAAAUGAACUCAACAUUAUUUCCUGCACGCAGCCAAAUUCUGUUAUAAUCCUGCAGACACUUAAUACAUACCAAAAUCCCUGAACAGAGCCGGAAGAAAGGCAGAUUAAAAACGUAGCUCAAAUUCAGUGGGAGAGGUCCUUAGCAGCUACCAUAACAGUCACACCAGGCUCCCACAACAAGAGAUCAUUCAUCUACAAAUAGAAACGAAUACUCUAAGCUCCAGCUCUUCAACUCACAUCAUAAAAGUUACUGGCGAAAAUAAACAGGGCGUCUCUUCAUCCCAGACCUCCGUCCUCACCCAUCAUAAGUCUAUAGAGAUAUAAAAUGUGUCAAACAAAUAUUUUUGGCUAGAAAAAAAAAGCAUACAUGGUAUUAUUGCGGCUAACAAUCAUCGUACGUAUCCCAGGUAAUAAGCUAAGGAUGUUAAUUUGCAUUAUCAGGCAAAACAUCACACGGAUCCAAGUUACAGGAUUUGCUCAGCCAUGUGCAUUUGAUAAAGCAAAAGAAAUACGAGUGGUAAAAAAAUAGCAUGCAUCUUCAUCCGUGACCUCCAUCCUCACUGAUCUCAAUGAUCUACAGAGAUAUAAAUUGGGUCAAAGAAACAACUUUUUGGUUACAAGGAAAAAACUUACAUAAUAUUAUUGCGGCUAACAAUCAUUGUAUCUUAAGUAAGCUAAGGACACAAAUUUGCAUGGUCGGGCAAAACAUCAAGGAGAUCAAUUACAGGAUUCGCACAGCCAUGGUCAU